AAAUGUUCUGCAUGUAUGCUUUUGGUCAAAAGUCCCCUAAAGACGGUUUUUAUGAACUUGCGCGUGAAAUUACAUACCUUGUCGGUGAACUUCCUUUAGGACUAAGGGUUAUUGGAUCCCACUUUCGUGGAUUGUCCAAGGAGCAGUGGUCAAUGGAAAUAUCAAGGUUAAGGACUAACCUUGAUGGAGAUAUUGAGAGCAUUUUGAAGUUCAGUUUUGAUGCUUUAUGUGAUGAAGAUAAAGAUUUAUUCCUUCAUAUAGCUUGCUUUUUCAACAACGAAAAUAUAAACAAAUUAGAAGAAUUUAUUGGCCAAAGAUUCAAGGAUUUGAGUCAAAGGCUUUACGUUUUAGUGGAGAAAUCUCUCAUAUCUAUUGAAAGAUUUCUUGAAUAUGUGAGUAUAAAAAUGCACAAUUUGCUGGCCCAACUAGGUAAAGAAAUCGUCCGUAAAGAAUCUCGUGAGCCUGGGCAACGCCGAUUUUUGUUUGAUAAUAAAGAUAUUUGUGAAGUAGUCUCUGGUUAUACAACUGUAAGUUUUUCCAUUAUUCUUUCAUUGCAGUGCUCACCAUAACUUGAGUUUAUUUUAUCAUCUCUACUUAUCUUUGGGUCUUUUUUCUCAGAAUACUGGAAGUGUUGUAGGCAUAGACUCCGAUUCUUGGUUAAAUAUAACUGAGAAAGCCUUUGAAGGAAUGCCUAAUCUCCAGUUCUUAAGAGUCGUCGUAUACAAUUUUGAUCAUCCAAACAUUAUAUCUUCUUCGGGACCUCUGACUUUUAUAUCUUCGAAGCUACGAUUAAUAGAGUGGUGGUAUUUUCCGAUGACAUCUUUGCGUUUUAUUAAUAAUCUGGAAUUCCUUGUCGAAUUAAAAAUGCGUUACAGCAAACUUGAGAAGCUGUGGGACGGAAUCAAAGUAAGUCAUUUAAAUUUUAGUUUUGUAUGUAGAAUAUCCUCUCUUGUACAUUAAAUUAACUUGAAAAAUUAUAUUUUACUUGCCACUUCGUUUCUAGCAUGAAAAUAUAUAUAUAUUUUAAAAUUUUAUGUGUUCCAAUUGCUAAGUGUAAUGUGUUCCAAUUUUAUGUGUUAAAUUUUUAUGUAUAAUUGUGUAUAUUUUGUCUCCAUCUUUCUUUACAGCUGCUUAAGAAUCUCAAGCGUAUGGAUUUGUCAUAUUCCAGAAACCUGAAGGAGCUUCCUAAUCUUUCAAUGGCCACUAGUCUUGAGAAGUUAAAACUUAGUGGAUGUUCAAGUCUGGUGGAGCUCCCUUCUUCUAUUGGGAAUUCAACUAAUCUCUCCACAUUCAAACUUGAUGGAUUUAGUCUAGUGGAGCUCCCUUCUUAUGUUGGUAAUUUAACUAAUCUCCAGGAAUUAUCACUUAGUGGAUGCUCAAGGCUUGUAUCACUCCCACAGCUUCCAGAUUCCUUAUUGCGCCUAAAUGCAAACAAUUGUGAGUCCCUAGAGAAACUAGACUGCUCCUUUUGCAAUCCAUAUAUUUGGCUUCACUUCGCUAACUGCUUCAAACUAAAUCAAGAAGCAAGAGAUCUCCUCACCGAGACAUCAAAUGUUAAAUUGUAAAGAAGUGCCUGCGUGCUUCACUUACAGAGGUUAUGGGAAUUCCGUAACAGUGAAGUUGAAUCAAAAGCCUCUUCCUACAUCAACCAAAUUUAAGGCUUGCAUCUUAUUUGGUAACAAUGGCGAAAAUGACGUUAGUUAUAUUUAUUGGGACACAACAUGUGUGUAUACGAAGAAGAAUAAGGGUUGCAUCUUGUUGGAUAAUAAGGGAGAACAUGAGGAACGAGGGUCGGUGUCUUGUCGCAUCAGACACAAACCGAAUGGUUUCUUAAAUUACUAUCCAGUUAUAACGGAGCAUCUAUACAUUUUCGAAGUUGAAGUAGAGGAGGUGACUUCCACAGAGCUUUUUUUUUAUUUCGAGAUCUUCAAAGAGGAUUCCAGGACUAUGGAGAUAAAAGAAUGUGGGAUAAUCCACAUCUUGGAACAUCAUGUUGAUGGCGACGAAAAGAUGGCGAUGAAGAUGGAGACAAUGUAGAUCUGAGACAAACAUUGAAACUCAAGUCAAACAGAGAAGCCACAAGACAAAAUUGCAAGGACGAAUGGUAAGUUUGCAUUUUCACAACUCAAGAACUUACUUUGUUGAUAAACUUUGCAUAACAACUGUUCAAUGAAAUGUCUAAGUGAGCUUUUUAAGUUUAAAGUGACAAUAGCUAGAACUGCAAUCUCCAAAAUGAUUUUUGAAUUCAAUCGUGUAGGGUUUAGAGCUGGAGCUUAAGAAACUCUUGAAGGUGAAGUUGAAGACGUCCAUGAAGAUCUAUUUAAGAAACAGGUACAAAACUUAUACAUUCUUUUGAUUUAUGUGUUUUGUUUGUCUUCUCAAUUCAUGACAAUACAAAUAUAAAUUGUUUGUGAUAUUUUAGAUGUUCAGUAAAUUUCUUUUGGAUCUGAUUAAUUUUUGCUCUAGGCACAAGUAAAGUCGUUUCAAUAUGCAUUUGUCAAGUUAAUUGUGUCUUUUACGGUAUGGCUUGACCCACAUGUUCCUCUCUGUUUCUCAUUUGAAUAAUCAGUUUUUCCUGAUUGGUAUUCACUACUGUUAUUUCAUAUACUGCUUGAAAAAUUCUCAAAUUCUUUGAACUUGUGUUUAGUGCUCUAGUUGCUCUCUGUUAAUUCAGAUUUGGAUAAUUAGUUGUCCUGUUUCAGUAUUACUUAACUGUAUUCCUUAAAUUGGUUAGAUAUAGUUUUGCUGAAUGUAUAACGAUUGCUAGUACCUUCGUGAAAUGGUUUUGAAUCUGUUUGUGUAAUGUCAAAGCCAGAAGCCGAGAACGUAGCAAAAGUUAAGAUGGUUAAGAGUCUUUUAGGUAUGUUGUGUGCCUUCAGCUUCUCGUUUAUGUCUCAGAAUGCCUUCAUGCUAAUGAGAUGACUUUAUUUUGUAGGUGAACUAUUACAGUUGGCCUCUUGAAAUUCUAUUAUCAUUUAUACAUUUUCGACAUUGAAGCAGAGGAGGUGACUUGCACCGAGCUUGUUUUUACGUUCGAGGACAGAAAUUCCACAUACCUGAAAGCUUGGGAGAUAAAAGAAUGUGGGAUACUUUUAACUUCGGAGCGUCAUAUUGAUGACUUAUGAGAGCUUGGGAGAACCACACACCCUUAGCCCACGCGCAGGCUGGUUUUGUCACUCUGAUGUGUUUCCAAGUCUCACCAGUAGAGAAGUUUUUCUUAAAACCUGACGUCCGCUACAUUUCGUCUGCUUCUCGAUUUUGCCUCUUCUAUCCCAGCUUCAAUUCUGGUCAAUAAAUCCACACGGUGUCUCCUACUACGUCGAGUCAGAAACACGUCUUCCAUAGUCAUAGUCUUAGUAAAUCCCAGAUCAAUGCAUCCUCUGUCGCCCAAAACGUCGAAAAGAGGUCCCACGGAGGACUUGUGAUCAUACCAAAAAGAAGUGUUCUUACCACUUUGAAUUUCCAUCUUGUGGAAACUUUUUGCUAUCUCUUUCAGUUUGAAUAACAAAAAGAACCUUGGUAAGAAGAUUCUUUGACUGCCCAAAACGAGUUUUGCCAGAGGAGAUAAGUCUGAAUCCAUUGUCUUUUAGAGAGUGUUUUGUGGAUUCAGCUUCUCGUUUAUGACGUCUAUAUGACUAAGAACUGUUACAAUUGUUUGUCAAACAUGUGAAGGUGAAGUUGAAGAUCUAAUUUACCUACUUAAGAAAUACUUAAUACAUUCUUUUGAUUUAUGUGUUUUGUUUGUCUUCUCCAUUCAUGGGCCAUGGCAACAUAUAAAAUAUGUUUGUGAUAUUAAGAUGUUGGUUAAAAAUUCUUUUGAUUUAUGUGUUUUGUUUGUGAUAAACACAUAUAAAAAAUGUUUUUGAUAUUUAGAUGUUCGUUAAUAAUUCUUUUGGACAAAUAUGCAUUUGCCAAGUGAAUUGUGUCUUUUACGAUAUGGCAGAAGAGAAAUCACACAACUAUAUGUCAACUUUAACAAAAUGGAGAUUUAGACAAAGCUCUUCUCUUAUUACAUGAACAUGGCACAUUACACUAGAUAUCACAUCCACACAAGCUUUAUAAGACGAAAAAGGACUAAUUUUUUUUAAUAACGCCAACCAAAACUUGAUUCAAGCAAGAAGUCCAAAAAAAUUCCAUUUUCCUGAAUAAAAAAUAAUAAUUUAGAUGGAAUGUGAUAAAGACUGAAAUCAAUAAAAAGAAAGACAAAUACCUUGCGCAUUAGUAGCAGGAGGACUAGCAGGAGACACUGCAACCAAAACAAAACAAAACAAAAAUCUCUAUUAAUCAGAUAAUCAUAUAACUACAAAAGGAAUUAAAUCAUAAUCCAUAAAAAAUCAAGAAGAAAUCUAACAUGCACCACAAGCUGCCACCGGAGGAGCAUAAACUUUACAAGCAUCGGGAAGAGUAGUAGCCUUAGUAACGUUAAGUUUGAUUCCGUAAGAGGCAGUGUUCUUCAACCCUUCGCAUCAGUGCCGGCCCGGUAAAUUUGGGUGCCCUAAGCAAAAUUAAAGCCAUAAAAAAAAAAUUCUUUUAAAUUAGAUUUUUACCAUUAAAAAAAAUGUUGUAGUUGUCUCUAAAAGCCAACAAUAUUUUUAAAAGGCCCUACAAAAAUUAUUGUAUAUAAGGAAAACUUAACAAGUUUUUAGGUAAAAAGGCCCUCAAAUUUUGAGGCCCUAAUCGGUGGCUUCGGUGGCUUGCCCUCUGCGCCGGCCCUUCUUCGUAUAGACAUUCCGGUUCCGUAUCGAGGAUAUUCUUGAGACUGGAGCAGCACGAAUUUGAGGGUGUAUCCAUCGUACUCCCGAUCGUUAUAAAUGAUAAACAUGGGAACAGGGGAACAACAAGGGUACACCCGGAGGCUGGUAUAAUGUUUCCAUGAACAUAAGGAGAGGAAACAGAGAGGACUAGGAGGAGAAGAGAUGUUGCUGCGGAGAAGAAAGCCAUUGUUUUGGUUCUCUGUUUUGGUUACUGCUUAAGAAUCUAGAGAGAAGAAAAUGAGAAUUGUGGUAGAGAAUGAGUGAAAUGUGCUGUGUUUAAAUAUGGGUUUGAGUGAUAAAGACGACGUCGUUUUGGUGUACACGUCAUGUGUAACUUGUAAUUUUUUGGUUCUUUUAGUGUAAGAUUCUGCUCAUUUUUAUUUGGAUUUUAUCCUAUAUUAAGAGCUUUUUAUCAUUGAAAUUAAAGUUGUUACCAAAAUGAUUAGAUUUGUUAGAAGAAUACAGAAGAAAAAAAAAAAGUAGAAAAAUAAAAAUGUAAUUUCUAAAAACGUUGGUGAAAAAAAUAAAAAAAAAUUUCUUAAAACGCUUUUCUAAGUAGAAGGAUUUGUAUUCAUACUUUGCUUUGCUGUAUGUAUUUCUUAGAUUUUGUUUUUUUUCUGCUGUAACCUUCUGUCAAAAUCUAUAAAUGGUAUAAAACUUAACAUUCAUACCAAAAAACAAAAGUUUAUAUGCUAAGAUAUUUAUUUUUUUUAUGUUAAAGUUGCUAAGAUUUUCUUUUUAACUGUCUUGGUUUAUAUGUCUUGGUUCUGAGUCUUUUCGAGAGUGUUGUGUGGAUUCAGCUUCUCGUUUAUGUCGUCUGUAUGACUAAGAACUGUUACAAUUGUUUGUCAAACAUGUAAUAAACUUGAAGGUGAAGUUGAAGAUCUAAUAUACCUACUUAAGAAACAGGUACAAGACUUAUACAUUCCUUUGAUUUAUGUGGUUUGUUUGUCUUCUCCAUUCAUGGCAACACAUAUACAAAAUGUUUGUGAUAUUUGCCAAGUGAAUUGUGUCUUUUACGAUAUGGCAGAAGAGAAAUCACACAACUAUAUAUCAAAUUUAACAAAAUGGAGAUUUUGACAAAGCUCUUCUCAUAUUACAUGACCAUGGCACAUUACACUAGAGAUCACAUCCACACAAGCUUUAUAAGACGAAAAGGGACUAAAUAUUUGUUAUAACGCAGACCAAAACUUGAUUCAAGCAAGAAGUCCAAAAAAAUUCCAUUUCCCUGAACAUAAAAUAAUAAUUUAGAUGGCAGGAUUAAACAUUAUAAUAAGUUAUCAAGAAUGAAAUGUGACUAAGAAUGAAAUCAAUAAAAAGAAAGACAAAUACCUGGCGCAUUAGCAGCAGGAGGACUAGCAGGAGACACUGCAACCGAAACAAAACAAAGUUUCUAUUAAUCAGAUAAUCAUAUAACUACAGAAGAAAUUAAACCAUAAUCUGAUUUAUCGUAAGGAUCAUAAUCCAUAAAAAUCAAGAAGAAAUACAGAGAGAUGAAGGAGAAAUCUAACAUGCACCACAAGCUGACGCCGGAGGAGCAUUAACUUUACAAGCAACGGGAAGAGUAGUAGCCUUAGUAACAUUAAGUUUUAUUCCGUAAGAGGCACUGUUCUUCAACCCUUCGCAUAGACAUUCCGGUUUCGUAUCGAGAAUAUUCUUGAGACUGGAGCAGCACGAACUUGAGGGUGUAUCCACCGUACUCCCGAUCGUUAUAAAAGAUAAACAUGGUAACAGGGUAACAACAAGGGUGGUGCACUCGUCGGCUGGUACAAUGUUUCCAUGAACAUAAGGAGAGGAAACAGAGAGGACGAGGAGGAGAAGAGAUGUCGCAGCGGAGAAGAAAGCCAUUGUUUUGAUUCUCUGUUUUGGUUACUGCUUAAGAAUCUAGAGAGAAGAAAAUGAGAAUUGUGAUAGAAUGAGUGAAAUGUGUUGUGUUUAAAUAUGGGUUUAAGUGAUAGAGACGACGUCGUUUUUAUGUACACGUCAUGUGUUAACACGUCAUUUUUUGGUUCUUUCUGUGUAAGAUUCUGCUCAUUUUUAUUUGGAUUUUAUCCUAUAUAAAGAGCUUUUUAUCAUCGAAAUUAACGUUAUUACCAAAAUGUUUAGAUUUUAAAGAAGAAAAAAAAAAAAAAACAGAAAAAUAAAAAUGUAAUUUCUUAAAACGCUUUUCUUAAAGUAGAAAGAUUUGUAUUCAAACUUUGCUUUACUGUAUAUACUACUUAGAUUUUGUUUUUUUCUGCUGUAAUCUUCUGUCAAAAUCUAUAAAUGGUAUAAAACUUAACAUUUAUACCAAAAAAACAAAAGUUUAUAUGCUAAGAUUUUCUUUUUAACUAACUUGGUUUAUAUGUUUAAAGACUAAUUAAUUAAAUAUAGUAAACAAGUUUUAUCAUUUUGCAUACAAUUAUUCAGUGGGUCAGUUUCUCAUUGUAUUUAAGAUAAGAGAUUGGUUCGGUUUGCACAAAAAAAUGGAGAUUGGUUCAAACUUCAAAUGUUGAAACCUGCGUGUUGUUGUUAUUGAAUUUAAAAAAUUAAAAAACUUUUUUUUUUCUUUCUCAAUGUCAAAACUAUGAGUUCUUUCGCAUAAAGAAUGAAAACAAAAUUAAUGUAACAAAAAUAGUUAAAGAAUAUCACAUAUUUUCGAUAUCUUUCAAGAUUUGAAUAAUUAGUUUUUCCAGAUUUAGUAUUACUUAAUUCUAGUCCUGAAAUGUAGUUUUACUGAAUGUAUAACGAUUGCGCUUAACUUUGUGAAACGGGUUUGAAUAUGUUUUAAUAAUUAAUGCAAAGCGAGAACAUAGCAAAAAGUUAGAAUGGUUAUGAGUCUUUUAGAGUAUGUUGUGUGGCUUCAGCUUCUCGUUUAUGUUCUCGUAUGACCGAGGUCUGAGGACAUGCUAUUUUAUUUUAUAUGAAAUGACUUCUUUUUUUUGAUGAACUAUUACAAUUGGCCUCUUGAAAUUCAAUUAGUGUCAUGUUAAAAAAAAAGUAAAAUCUAAAUGGGACUAAAAAAACAACUAUUGAAUAAGGGGUACUGGGUGGCAAGGGACCUAAACAUUACAACAAGUGCAACUGUUUGGAGUAGUGUUUGACAUAAGAGUAGAAGGGGUUUACAAGUUAUCUCCUAGUAGAAAGCCAAAAGAAGAAUAAAUCACCAUAUUUUGCAUUCCCGGAAGAUGGGAAUGUUCGUGUUGAUGUUUUUCCAAGGCUUGAUGUUGUUUGAGGUUCUUUACCAUGUCUUUUGUUAUUUCUCUCCCUCCAUAUGGUAUGGACUGCAAUUUGAAACGUUUAUCGCAGAAGUAAAAGAGCCUUCUUUUUGGUUGUCUCAUAUGUUAUGAGCAAAAUGAUUUGAUCCCAAUCCAGAAGUAUCUACAGGUGUGACUAUCUUGAAGUAUCCCUUUUACUAACUCCUCCCAUAUUUGUCUUGUAUACGGGCAUUGAAAGAAGAGGUGGUGUCUUGUCUCAACCGGUUCCUGACAAAACGCACAAGAUGUAUUCACUUGGGUCUUCCACUUCACCACUCGUUCACCUGUAGAUAAUUUGUCAUGCUUUGCAAGCCAUGUAAUAAAAGCGUAUUUAAGCGUAGCUUCAGAUUGUUCGAGUUUUUCAGGUCUUGAUUUAAGAAAUGAUCAAAAUUAUAACAAAAUUCAGAUUUAAUUGGAUUUGGUUUAAGUUUGGAUGAAAAUUUAGUUAAAUAAUGAUUAAUUAUAUGUAAUUCAUAUUAUAUUUUAAUAUAUGUUAAUUUUAUAUAUGAAAACUGAAAUAUUAACUGAAAUAUUUCGAUGUGGAAAUUUAUGUACUUUUCAUAGUAUUAUAAAAUUUGGUUUGGUUUCACCUUAGUAAAUUUUUGUGAUCGAACCAAAUAAACAUGUAUUAAUAUAUAUUCAUAUUCGGUUCGGUAUAAUAAUUUAUAGAUCACUAGUAACAAAAUUGGUUUGGUUUCACGUUGAUGAAUUUUUGUAACACAACCAAAUAAAACUUCAUUAAUUAACCUUUUUACAUCAUGACUAAAAAAAUUUCAAUUUAUUUAUAAAUUCUAAACUAGAAUUUCAGAAGAAAAUAUAUUAAAUUUCAAUUUUUCAUUGUGGUUUCUUUCAUAGAAUUAGAGUGUCAUAUGUCGUAACCAAUUGCUGAGUUAUUUAUUGGGUUCUGCAAAAAAAAAAAUAACUCUCCACCUCAAAAAUACAGAUAAAUCAUACGAAGUAAGAAAAAAAACAUAAUAUAAACUUUAUAUGUAUAUUGUAUAUGUUUUCACAAUCACAUACAAUAUAUAUUUUUUAGUUAUAAAUGUUGAGUUAAACUUCUCGUCGCGAAGGCUUCGAUUUAACAUAUUAAUCAUCAAAAUUUUACAAACUUGAGAGUAGCGGAAAAAUGUUAUAUUGCGUAUUAUAUUUAACUUCGUAGGAUUAAUUUGCAUUUUUGUAGGUGAAGAUAAAUUUGCAAAAAGUGGCUAGUUUGAAGAUUUUUAUUACGGAGACGGUAAGGUAUGAAAGUCAGUUGUUGCAAAUAAAAUGACCAAUUAAAUUUCUGAAAGGAAAUAUCAAGAAAUUUGAGAGUAUAAAUUAGAUGGAGAGAGAGAGAGAUAGCAAAUUUAGGAAUGUGAAACAAAGUCAACUGUUAAUGAGGGAUGUUUCCUCAUUAACAAAACCUUUUGGGAAUAACUCUUACUUAGUCUAAGCUAUAUUUUAAAUUUUAUGAGCAAUUGUGUUUUGUUUUGAGCUGUCAUGCUCUGUUUUCUGUUUUUGAAUCUUUCCUUUGAUUUUUAAUGUAGUUUACGAAAAAUUCGUACAGAACCGCUUCAUAUCACAUAUGUAAACAACAUUUUUCAUGAAUGGCUUUUUUGAGCUCUAAUUAAUUUCGGAUGACAAAAAAAAAAAAAAUGUAGUUUCAAAGCCCCCAGCGAAACACUAUGGAAAAUCUCCAAACGUUACUUCCUUUGUCAACUCUUGAUUUUGCGUAUAAGAAAAAGUCAUGAGAUUAAUAAGCCAAUCAAUCGGAUAUUUUGGAAUUUUUUUUCCUUUGUAGUAAGGUGAAAUAAUUGGUCGGUUGCAUUUUCUUAUUCAAACUAAAUUUCUCGGAGGAAAUAUCAAGGAAAUUCUAAAGAUAUUGUAUGUCAACGUUCUAGGCCUAUAUACAUUCAAGUUUUAAUCCUUACCCCCCAUUUAACUCUGUUAAAGAUAUUGUAUGUCAACGUUCUAGGCCUAUAUACAUUCAAGCUUUUUCCUCUUCUUAUUCUUCUGCUCCUUCGAUUCCUUCAUCUUCUUCGUCUCAAAACUGGGAGUACGAUGUCUUUCCCAGCUUCCACGGGAAAGAUGUACGCAAAGCCUUUCUCAGCCACGUUCUAAAGGAGUUUGGAAGAAAAGCAAUCAACUUUUUUGUUGAUAACGAGAUCAAGAGAGGAGAAUUCAUCGGUCCUGAACUCAAACGUGCGAUCAAAGGAUCUAAGAUUGCUCUUGUCUUGCUCUCCAAGAAUUACGCUUCUUCGUCAUGGUGUCUUGACGAAUUGGCGGAGAUAAUGAAGCAAGAGUCUGGUCAAACGGUGAUUACCAUUUUCUAUGAAGUAGAUCCAACGGAUGUGAAGAAGCAGAAGGGAGACUUUGGGAAGGUCUUCAAAAAAACUUGUAAAGGUAAAGACAAGGAGAAGAUUAAGACUUGGAGGAAAGCUUUGGAGGAUGUGGCCACAAUCGCAGGUUACCAUUCAAGCAACUGGUUCGUGUUCUUGAUUUAGCUUUUAAUAUUUCUAACUCAUCAUACUAUGUAGCAUACGAAACUGUAUGUAUACAAGAGAUUCAUAACUUUUGAACGUGUAUGUUAGUUCUUAGUGAUUAUUUAUUAACAAGAUGUAUGUAUGAAUUGUUCUUCGUCUUUGUUAGGGUUGAUGAAGCAGCCAUGAUUGAAAACAUCGCUGCUGAAAUUUCGAACAAGCUUAAUCAUUUGACACCAUUACGUGAUUUUGACUGUUUAAUUGGGAUGGAAGCUCAUAUGAAAAGGAUGGAACAGUAUUUACGUCUAGACUUGGAUGAAGUGAGGAUGAUUGGGAUUUGGGGUCCGCCUGGGAUUGGGAAGACCACAAUUGCCAGGUUUCUGUUUAACCAAGUUUCCAGCCGUUUCCAGAAUAGCGCACUCAUUGAGGACAUCAAAGGAAGCUAUCCGAAACCUUGUUUUGAUGAGUACAACGCAAAGUUGCAACUACAAUAUAAAAUGUUGUCUCGGAUGAUCAACCAGAAAGAUAUCAUGAUCCCUCAUUUAGGAGUCGCACAAGAACGAUUGAGAAAUAGGAACGUGUUUCUCGUUCUUGAUGAUGUGGAUCGGUUAGCACAACUAGAAGCCUUGACCAACAAUGUUCAGUGGUUUGGUCCUAGAAGUCGGAUUAUCAUCACAACAGAAGAUCGAAGUCUUUUGAACGCACAUGGGAUCAACCAUAUAUACAAGGUUGGUUUUCCAUCAAAUGAUGAGGCUCUUCAAAUGUUCUGCAUGUAUGCUUUUGGUCAAAAGUCCCCUAAAGACGGUUUUUAUGAACUUGCGCGUGAAAUUACAUACCUUGUCGGUGAACUUCCUUUAGGACUAAGGGUUAUUGGAUCCCACUUUCGUGGAUUGUCCAAGGAGCAGUGGUCAAUGGAAAUAUCAAGGUUAAGGACUAACCUUGAUGGAGAUAUUGAGAGCAUUUUGAAGUUCAGUUAUGAUGCUUUAUGUGAUGAAGAUAAAGAUUUAUUCCUUCAUAUAGCUUGCUUUUUCAACAACGAAAAUAUAAACAAAUUAGAAGAAUUUAUUGGCCAAAGAUUCAAGGAUUUGAGUCAAAGGCUAUUGGGAGAACCGGAGAUCGACCGAGAUCGACGAUCGAGAUGAUCGCCCAAGAUUACUCUCAUCAAUACCAUGAUAUCUUUACGUUUUAGAGGAGAAAUCUCUCAUAUCUAUUGAAAGAUUUCUUGAAUAUGUGAGUAUAAAAAUGCACAAUUUGCUGGCCCAACUAGGUAAAGAAAUCGUCCGUAAAGAAUCUCGUGAGCCUGGGCAACGCCGAUUUUUGUUUGAUAAUAAAGAUAUUUGUGAAGUAGUCUCUGGUUAUACAACUGUAAGUCUUUCCAUUAUUCUUUCAUUGCAGUGCUCACCAUAACUUGAGUCUAUUUUAUCAUCUCUACUUAUCUUUGGGUCUUUUUUCUCAGAAUACUGGAAGUGUUGUAGGCAUAAACUCCAAUUAUGGGUUAAAUAUAACUGAGAGAGCCUUUGAAGGAAUGCCUAAUCUCCAGUUCUUAAGAGUCGGAUACAAUACUCAUCAUCCAAACAUUAUAUCUUCUUCAGGACCUCUAAUUUUUAUAUCUCCGAAGCUACGAUUAAUAGAUUAGUGGUUUUUCCCGAUGACAUCUUUCCCUUUUAUUAAUAAUCUGGAAUUCCUUGUCGAAUUAAGUAUGCGUUAUAGCAAACUUGAGAAGCUGUGGGACGGAAUCAAAGUAAGUAAUUUAAAUUUUUUAAUUGUUUUAAAUUUUAGUUUUGUAUGUAGAAUAUCCUCUCUUGUACAUUAAAUUAACUUGAAAAAUUAUAUUUUACUUGCUACUUCGUUUCUAGCAUGAAAAUAUAUACAUUUUUUAAAUUUUAUGUGUUCAAUUGCUAAGUGUAUCAAAGUAAUUGUCUAUUUUGUCAUUAUUCUCCUUUACAGCUGCUUCGAAACCUCAAGUGUAUGGAUUUGGCAAAUUCUGAAAACCUGAAGGAGCUUCCUAAUCUCUCAAUGGCCACUAGUCUUGAGGAGUUAAACCUUGAAGGAUGUUCAAGUCUGGUGGAGCUCCCUUCUUCUGUUGGUAAUUUAACUAAUCUCCAGAAAUUAUCACUUGAAGGAUGCUCAAGGCUUGUAUCACUCCCACAGCUUCCAGAUUCCCCAAUGGUCCUAGAUGCAGAAAAUUGUGAGUCCCUAGAGAAACUAGAUUGCUCCUUUUACAAUCCAUGUAUUCAUCUCAACUUCGCUAACUGCUUCAAACUAAAUCAAGAAGCAAGAGAUCUCCUCAUCCAGACAUCAACUGCUAGAUUGGUGGUCUUACCCGGUAAAGAAGUUGAUACUUGCCACUUCGUUUAAUAUAGAUUAACUUGAAAGAUUAUAUUAUACUUGCCACUUCGUUUCUAGCAUGAAAAUGUAUCUUUUAAAAUUUUUGUGUUCAAUUGCUAAGUGUAUCAAAGUAAUUGUGUAUUUUGUCAUUAUUCUCCUUUACAGCUGCUUCGAAAUCUCAAGCGUAUGGAUUUGGCAUAUUCUGAAAACCUGAAGGAACUUCCUAAUUUCUCGAUGGCCACUAGUCUUGAGCAUUUAGAUCUUAGAGGCUGUUUAAGUCUGGAGGAGCUCCCUUCUUCUAUUGGAGAUUUAACUAAUCUAUGGAAAUUAGAUCUUAGAGGCUGUUUAAGUUUGGUGGAGGUCCCUUCUUCUAUUGGGGAUUUAACUAAUGUUUGGGAAUUAUAUCUUAGUGAAUGUUUAAGUUUGGUGGAGCUCCCUUCUUCUAUUGGGAAUUUAACUAAUCUCCAUGCAUUAGUACUUAAAGGAUGUUCAAGUCUAGUGGAGCUCCCUUCUUCUAUUGGGAAUUUAACUAAUCUCCAUAAAUUAUCACUUGAAGGAUGCUCAAGGCUUGUAUCACUCCCACAGCUUCCAGAUUCCCUAAUGGUCCUAAAUGCAGAAAAUUGUGAGUCCCUAGAGAAACUAGAUUGCUCCUUUAGCAAUCCGGGUACUUGGCUUAACUUUUCUUACUGCUUCAAACUAAAUAAAGAAGCAAGAGAUCUCCUCAUCCAGACAUCAUCUGUUAACGUUGUGGUCUUACCCUGUAAAGAAGUGCCUGCGUGCUUCACUUACAGAGGUUAUGGGAAUUCCGUAACAGUGAAGUUGAAUCAAAAGCCUCUUCCUACAUCAAUUAAAUUUAAGGCUUGUUGAAGGUUAUGGGUCGGUGUUUUGUUGCAUCAGAGACAAACUGAAUCGUUUCUCAGUCCACUCUCCAAUUAUAACGGAGCAUCUAUACAUUUUCGAAGUUGAAGUAGAGGAGGUGACUUCCACCGAGCUUGUUUUGGAUUUCGAGAUCUUCGAUUACGAUUCCAAGACUAGGGAGAUAAUAGAAUGCGGGAUAAUCCACAUCUUGGAACAUCAUGUUGAUGGCGACGAAAAGAUGGCGAUGAAGAUGGAGACAAUGUAGAUCUGAGACAAACAUUGAAACUCAAGUGAAACAGAGAAGCCACAAGACAAAAUUGCAAGGACGAAUGGUAAGUUUGCAUUUUCACAACUCAAGAACUUACUUUGUUGAUAAACUUUGCAUAACAACUGUUCAAUGAAAUGUCUAAGUGAGCUUUUUAAGUUUAAAGUGACAAUAGCUAGAACUGCAAUCUCCAAAAUGAUUUUUGAAUUCAAUCGUGUAGGGUUUAGAGCUGGAGCUUAAGAAACUCUUGAAGGUGAAGUUGAAGACGUCCAUGAAGAUCUAUUUAAGAAACAGGUACAAAACUUAUACAUUCUUUUGAUUUAUGUGUUUUGUUUGUCUUCUCAAUUCAUGACAAUACAAAUAUAAAUUGUUUGUGAUAUCUUGCUCUAGGCACAAGUAAAGUCGUUUCAAUAUGCAUUUGUCAAGUGAAUUGUGUCUUUUACCCACAUGUUCCUCUCUGUUUCUCAUUUGAAUAAUCAGUUUGUUCCUGUUUCAGUAUUGCUUAAUUCUAUUCCUGAAAUUCGUUAGAACAUAGCAAAAGUUAAAAUGGCUCUGAGAUUUUAGAGUAGGCUUCUAGUUUAUGUUCUCUGUAUGAAUGAAGACAUGCUAUUUUAUUCUAUAUGAAUAGGUGAACUAUUCCAUUUGGCCUCUCAAGUUUCACAAUUCUUGAUUUUGCUGCAACUUUUUUUGUAGCAUAUAUUGGCCUCUUGAAAUUUAGUUAUCUUUAAUUAAGGUUUAAUAAAAGUAAAAUCUGUAUGGGACUAAGAAGAACAAGUAUUGAAUGAGGUUUAUUGGGUGACAAGGCACCUAUAUAGGAACUUGACAAGUGUAAUGGAUUUGCUCAUUCUAUUAGACGGUGUAACCGAAUCAAGAUGUUGGAUUGUGUUGUAUUAGGUAGCGAAUAUGGGCGGUUACGGACAAAUGAAUUCGAAAUUUGGUGAUAGAAUUGGAAAUGUGGAUGCCAUUGAUUUUCCAAUGCAAAGCAGAAGAAUCUCAGGAGGUCUUUUCUCUUUUUUCUUGACAAGAAGUUUCAACAGCCAUUUCCACUUCCAAUUCUUAUCGAUAAUAUUCAAUUUCAACUGAAAACGAAGAACUCGUGGCUAAUUAUAUGCUGACAAAGUAUGUUAUCUUUCAUGUUAGGUGAUGUGUAAAAUUUUGUUCACUCAUUUAACUUGUAAUUAGUCUCCUAUUACAUAUAAUUUAUAAUAGACUCUAGUUAUAGGAAUCCGAACUAAAUUUCUCUUGAUAAAAAUAUGAUCGUGGUGUUCCUCGUGUUUAACAAAUUGCAAACUAUUAACUUUCAACAGAGUUGUGUGACUUGAGAAAAACAGAGGACUUUGUUGGUAUGAAGUCUCAUAGUAUAAACAGAAGACUCUGUUUCACACAGUUACGAAAAAAUCUGUAGAAAUCAAACCUUUUGUACAGAAGCAAGAAUUUUGUAACCUUCUUAGCUACAUAACAUUAACAUUGGAUCUUUAUACUCUUUGGAUUUUUCAUAAAACGACAUGAAUAUAUGUCCUCAAUACGAAACAUAGCCUGAUGCAUUAUCUCGUCGGCGCAUGUGAACUUAGAUUUAAGUCUAUAGAAUCCGUUUUUGCUAUUAAAAAAUCCAAAACCCUCUUAGAAAUAUGAUUCAACAAAUCCAAAAUCAACUAGGAAAUAUCCAUAAGCAAUAGAAACUUUCCAAGGAAUGACUUAUCUGCAUAGCCAAAUGUUAGUAUUCAGUAAUAUGAAUCAUCACUUAUGAGAUUGUUUGGUAUGAACCUUACUUUUCCUUAGAAUAACAUUUAUAUUUUCUUUAGAAGUGUCUCUGAAGUGAUUAGCUGUUAAAGAGUAAAUAGCUACAAAUUCCGUUAAUAGUGGAGGGACAAUGAUUACUCUCAUAAACCUUUAUGUUCACAGAAAUUUAUUUAUAAAGAUUAAUUGAUGGUUCUGAGUCUUUUAGAGAGUGUUGUGUGGAUUCAGCUUCUCGUUUAUGUCGUCUGUAUGACUAAGAACUGUUAUAAUUGUUUGUCAAACAUGUAAUAAACUUGAAGGAGUUGAAGAUCUAAUUUACCUACUUCAGAAAUAGGUACAAAACUUAAUUAAUCGAUACAUUCUUUGAUAUAUGUGUUUUGUUUGUCUUCUCAAUUCAUGGCAAUACAUAUAAAAAAUGUUUGUGAUAUUUAGAUGUUCAGUAAAAACUCUAGGCACAAAGUAGAGCCGUUUCAAUAUGCAUUUGCCAAAUGAAUUGUGUCUUUUUUGAUAUGGCAGAAGAGAAAUCACACAGUUACAUGUCAAAUUUAACAAAAUGGAGAUUUUGACAAAGCUCUUCUCAUAUUACAUGAUCAUGACACAUUACACUAGAGAUCACAUCCACACAAGCUUUAGUAUUUUAUCUUGUUGAAAUUGAAAUUAUCAUAAGACGAAAAAGGACUAAAUUUUUAUUAAGAAGACAAUUGACUUUUACAAUUCACCUACUAUGUUAUAACGCCAACCAAAACUUGAUUCAGGCAAGAAGUCCAAAAAAAUUCCAUUUCCUUGAACAAAAAAUAAUAAUUUAGAUGUCAUGAUAAAAAGCAGAUUAAAUUUUGCUCUGUUUUCUGUUUUUGAAUCUUUCCUUUGAUUUUUAAUGUAGUUUAGACGGCAAAAAAAAAAAAUUAUUACUUCCUCCAGCGAAAGAGGGCUGUUUCAAAGCCUCCAGCGAAACACUAUGGAAAAUCUCCAAACGUUACUUCCUUUGUCAACUCUUGAUUUUGCAUAUUGGCAAAAGUCAUGAGUAUAAUAAUAAACGUAUCAAUCGGAUAUUUUGAAGUUUUUUAAUCUUUGUAAUAAGGUGAAAUAAUUGGAUGGGUUGCAUGCAUUUUCUUAUUCAAAUUAAAUUUCUCAGAGGAAAUAUCAAUUCUAAAGAUAUUUUAUGUCACGUUCUAAGCCUAUAUACAUUCAAAUUUUAAUCCUUACCCCUACAUAACUGAAAAUUCUUCUAUCGAUCAUAGUAAUGGCUUUUUCUUCUUCUUCUUCUUCUCUUUCGAUUCCUUUAUCUUCUUCGUCUCAAAACUGGGAGUACGAUGUCUUUCCCAGCUUCCACGGGAAAGAUGUACGCAAAACCUUUCUCAGCCACCAACUGAAGGAGUUCGGAAGAAAAGCAAUCAACUUUUUUGUUGAUAACGAGAUCAAGAGAGGAGAAUUCAUCGGUCCUGAACUCAAACGGGCAAUCAAAGGAUCUAAGAUUGCUGUUGUCUUGCUCUCCAAGAAUUACGCUUCUUCUUCGUGGUGUCUUGACGAAUUGGUGGAGAUCAUGAAGAAAGAGUCGGGUCAAACGGUGAUUACCAUUUUCUAUGAAGUAGAUCCAACUGAUGUGAAGAAGCAGAAGGGAGACUUUGGGAAGGUCUUCAAAAAAACUUGCAAAGGUAAAGGCAAGGAGAAGGUUCAGACAUGGAAGAAAGCUUUGGAGGGUGUGGCCACAAUCGCGGGUUACCAUUCAAGCAACUGGUUCGUUUUCUUGAUUUAAAUUCACUUGAUUUUAAUAUUUCUAACACAUCAAACUAUAUUUGUAGCAUUCAUAGUGAUUAGUUAUUAACAAGAUGUAUGUAUAAAGUGAUCUUCCUCUUUGUUAGGGUUGAUGAAUCAACCAUGAUUGAAAACAUCGCUGCUGAAAUUUCGAACAAGCUCAAUCAUUUGACGCCGUCACGUGAUUUUGACCAUUUAAUUGGGAUGGGAGCUCAAAGUCUAUUUGUUAGUCCUUACUUUCACAUAGCUCUAUUAUUAGAUCUCUGAUCUUAAAUCUUCUCUCUAUCGUAGCAAUGGCUUCUUCUGCUCUUUCGAUUCCUUCAUCUUCUUCGUCUCAAAACUGGGAGUACGAUGUCUUUCCGAGCUUCCACGGGAAAGAUGUACGCAUAACCUUUCUCCGCCACAUUCUCAAGGAGUUUGGAAGAAAAGCAAUCAACUUUUUUGUUGAUAACGAGAUCAAGAGAGGAGAGUUCAUCGGUCCUGAACUUAAACAGGCGAUCAAAGGAUCUAAGAUUACUCUUGUCUUGCUCUCCAAGAAUUACGCAUCUUCGUCGUGGUGUCUUGAUGAAUUGGUGGAGAUCAUGAAGAAAGAGUCGGGUCAAACGGUGAUUACCAUUUUCUAUGAAGUAGAUCCAACGGAUGUAAAAAAGCAGACCGGAGAUUUUGGGAAGGCCUUCAAAGAAACUUGUCAAGGUAAAACUGAGGAGAAGGUUCAGACAUGGAAGGAAGCUUUGGAGGGUGUGGCCACAAUCGCAGGUUACCAUUCAAGCAACUGGUUAGUGUUCUUGAUUUCCACUUUCUUUUAAUUCUAACACAUCAAGCCAUAUAUCUUUAAUUGUAACGUUCGAACUGAAUGUAGACAAGAGAGUCAUAAUUGAUCUUGCUCUUUGGUAGGAUUGAUGAAGCAACCACGAUCGAAAAGAUUGCUGCUGAUAUUUUAUUGGAGAUAAGCAAGAUGUGUAUCUUGCGGACCAAGUAAUAUGGACCGUUAAAGUCCAUUAUGAAGUGAAGCCCGUGAAGCCUAAACCGAAGAAUAUUCUAGAUCUCUAUAUUACUUCUUGUACAAGUUAUUUACUUAUAUGUUUAGGAAAGUUUACAUUAUGUGGGUGUUAACAUUAUGUUAAUGUUAACACUAUAUAUAUGUAUCUUAUAUUUUCAUAUGAGAGAAAACUCAAUAAAGUAUUUUAUAGAUUCUAUAAUAUUUGACAUGGUAUCAGAGCAGUCGAUCCUUGUGGAUCUGAAUUAAAUGCUUCCGCAUUAAAAAUCUUGUGGUCACAAUAACCAUGGGAUGUGAAGCCAUCGAAGACGGUGGUGACGAAGACGAUCCGGAUGAUGACGUGAAGCAAAGUUUGCUUUGACGUCCACAUGAGAGUUUUAUAUUUCUUUUAUUCUAAGUUAAUGUUUUAGGUUGAUUUUGAGUUUAUGAUUUGGUUUAGCACAAGAAUUAGAGAUCUUUGAGGAAUUAUUAUGUUUUAAGGGUUUGGGAUUUCACAAGUAGUUGUUUAUUUAUGAGAUUUAUUCUUGAGUUUAGAAUAUCUCAUUUUUUUAAUGUGAGUUUUGAUUUCUCAUAUUACGGGGGAGUUUAUUGGAACACUCAUGUUUUAGGCUAUUUUUAGUCCGGUUUGUGGACUGUCCGAGAUAGGACGAUUAUUUGUGGAGUUGCAGGAUUUGCGCCCACGGAAUAUUGUUAUUCCCUUUUACUAAGACCAAAGACGAGCUGAAGUUCCAUCCUCUUUUGAAAAUUGAAGUUUAUACCUGAGGAGACUGUUGACAUGAUUUGUCCGUCCUCGACAUGAUGUCCACGACAUAGGUGUUCUGCUUUGUCGUUGCAUAUUUUGCGUUUCGCAUCCCACCUUUGUCGUGCGGGGGAGUAUUGGAGAUAAGCAAGAUGUGUAUCUUGCGGACCAAGUAAUAUGGACCGUUAAAGUCCAUUAUGAAGUGAAGCCCGUGAAGCCUAAACCGAAGAAUAUUCUAGAUCUCUAUAUUACUUCUUGUACAAGUUAUUUACUUAUAUGUUUAGGAAAGUUUACAUUAUGUGGGUGUUAACAUUAUGUUAAUGUUAACACUAUAUAUAUGUAUCUUAUAUUUUCAUAUGAGAGACAACUCAAUAAAGUAUUUUAUAGAUUCUAUAAUAUUUGACAUAUUUCGAAAAUGCUUAAUCAUUUGACGUUGUCACGUGAUUUUGACCAUUUAAUUGGGAUGGAAGCUCAUAUGGAAAGGAUGGAACAGUUUUUACGUCUAGAUUUGGAUGAAGUGAGGAUGAUUGGGAUUUGGGGUCCGGCUUGGAUUGGGAAGACCACCAUCGCCAGGUUUUUGUUUAACCAAGUCUCAAGCAGUUUCCAAAAUAGCGCAAUAAUGGUAAAUAUCAAAGGAAGCUAUCCAAGACCUUGUCGAGAUGUGUACAAAGCAAAGUUGAAACUACAGAAAAAAAUGUUGUCCCAUAUGAUCAACCAGAAAGAUAUCGUGAUUUCUCAUUUAGGAGUCGCACAAGAACGAUUGAGACACAGGACAGUGCUUCUCGUGCUUGACGAUGUGGAUCAGUUUGCACAACUAGAAGCCUUGGCUAAAGAUGUUAAAUGGUUUGGUCCUAGAAGUCGGAUUAUCAUCACAACAGAAGAUCUAAGACUUUUGAAGAAGCAUGGGAUCAACCAUAUAUACAAGGUUGAUUUUCCAUCAAAUGAUGAGGCUCUUCAAAGGUUCUGCAUGUAUGCUUUUAACCAAAAGACCCCUGAAGAUGGUUUCGAUGCACUUGCUCGUGAAAUUACAUACCUUGUCGGUGAACUUCCUUUAGGACUAAAGGUUAUUGGAUCCCACUUUCGAAGAUUGUCCAAGGAGCAGUGGUCAAUGGAAGUAUCAAGGUUAAGGACUAACCUUGAUGGAGAUAUUGAGAGCAUUUUGAAGUUCAGUUAUGAUGCUUUAUGUGAUGAAGAUAAAGAAUUAUUCCUUCCUAUAGCUUGCCUUUUCAACCUAGUAGAUAUAAAGAUAUUAGAAGAACUUAUUGGCAAAAGAUUCAAGGAUUUGAGACGAAGGCUUUACGUUUUAGAGGAGAAAUCUCUCAUAUCUAUUGAAAUUUUGUUUGACUAUGGGUAUAUAAAGUAUGAGUAUAUAAUGAUGCAUAAUUUGAUGGCCCAACUAGGUAAAGAAAUCGUCCUUAAAGAAUUUCGUGAGCCUGGGCAUCGCCAAUUUUUGAAUGAUUAUAAAGAUAAUUGUGAAGUAGUCUCAAUAGUAAGUUUUGCCAUUAUUUUUUCAUUGCACUGCUCAUCAUAACUUGAGUUUAUUUUAACAUCUCUACUUAUUUUUUGUUCAUUUUUCUCAGAUUGUUGGGACUGUUGUAGGUGAGAAAACCUUUGAAGGAAUGCCUAAUCUCCAGUUCUUAAGAGUCGGAUACAUUCCUGAUCAUCCAAACAUUAUAUCUUCUUCGAAGCUAGAAUCACUAGAUUGGUCGUGUUUCCCGAUGACAUCUUUCCCUUUUAUUAAUAAUCUGAAAUUCCUUGUCGAAUUAAGAAUGUUAGACAGCAAACUUGAGAAGCUGUGGGACGGAAUCAAAGUAAGUCAUUUAAAUUUCUUUCUUGUUUAAAUUUUUUGUUUUGUAUGAAGAAUAUCCUCUCUUGUACAGUAAAUUAACUUGAAAGAUUAUAUUUUACUUGCCACUUCGUUUCUAGCAUGAAAAUGUAUAAUUUUUUUUUUUAAUUUUAUGUGUUCAAUUGCUAAGUGUAUCAACAUAAUUGUGUAUAUUUUGUCUUCAUUUUUCUUUACAGCUGCUUAAGAAUCUCAAGCGUAUGGAUUUGUCAAAUUCCAAAAACCUGAAAGAGCUUCCUAAUCUCUCAAAGGCCAUUAGUCUUGAGGAGUUAAACCUUGAAGGAUGUUCAAGUCUGGUGGAGCUCCCUUCUUCUGUUGGUAAUUUAACUAAUCUCCAGGAAUUAUCACUUGAAGGAUGCUCAAGGCUUGUAUCACUCCCACAGCUUCCAGAUUCCCUAAUGGUCCUAGAUGCAGAAAAUUGUGAGUCCCUAGAGAAAAUAGAUUGCUCCUUUUGCAAUCCGGGUAGUGAUGUCAUCUUCGCUAACUGCUUCAAACUAAAACAAGAAGCAAGAGAUCUCCUCAUUCAGACAUCAACUGCUAACUUGGUGGUCUUACCUGGUGAAGAAGUUCUUGCGUGCUUCACUUACAGAGGUUAUGGGAGUUCCGUAACAGUGAAGUUGAAUCAAAAGCCUCUUCCUACAUCAACCAAAUUUAAGGCUUGCAUCUUAUUUGGUAACAAGGGCGAAAAAGACGCUAUUUCUAUUUAUUGGGACACAACAUGUGUGUAUACCAAGAAGAAUAAGGGUUGCAUCUUGUUGGAUAAUAAAGGUGAACAUGAGGAACGAGGGUCGGUGUCUUGUUGCAUCAGAGACAAACUGGAUGGUUUCUUAUACCACUUGCCAAUUUUAGUGGAGCAUCUAUACAUUUUCGAAAUUGAAGUAGAGGAGGUAACUUCCACCGAGCUUGUUUUUGAUUUCGAGAUCUUCGAUGAGGAUUCCAGGACUAGGGAGAUAAAAGAAUGCGGGAUAAUCCACAUCUUGGAACAUCAUGUUGAUGGCGACGAAAAGAUGGCGAUGAAGACUAGAAGAAAACAUGUGAUUAGUGACUACAUUCGGCGACUGAUUAUGUAGUCACUAAAUUUUAGGACUGAAUUGCGAUUUUUUGGCGACUGAAUGUUGCAAAAGUUACAGUAGUCGCUAAUCCGUCUGCAUUUUGAGAAUGAUAAAAAUAGUCUUAAAAUAGUCGCCAAAUUCGGCGACGAAAAGGCUACGAAUGUUUUAGUCGCCAUAGAUGGCUACUGCGUAGCUACGAUUUAGCGACUAUCUUUUUCUUAUUGGGCAUAUUAAUUGGGCUCGAUCCCCAAUUCUCUCUCGAUCCAGUGACAUUCGGAGUUUGGCCCUAAUUCCCAUUUCUUUCAUUCUCUCGAUCCCUAAUUUCGUAAACCCUAAUUCUAUCCCCAAUUCUCGAUCACCAAAUCUCUCUCUCGAUCCUCAAUCCUUCAAUCUUUCAAUCUCUCAAUAUCUCUUUCAAUCUCUGUCUCAAUUCCUCUCAUCUCAAUCCGCAAACCCUAAUCCGCAAACCCUAAUCGGAUUCCUCUCAAUCUGCAAACCCUCGAUUCCUCUCUAAUCUCUCUCAAUCGAUGGCUCCUCGUGUUCGCGGUGGAAAAGGCAGGGGACCGAAGUCUCCGUACAAGUGACCCACUUGCCCAAGUCGACCUACAUCUUCCGGUGUGUCGCAUCGAAGACCUAGAAGCCUUUCCUCCCAAUAUGACUUCACGCCAGCGAACCCUCAAACUCCAAUUCCAGAGACUUAGCAAAAUCGGAGUUGCCAGCCUUCACCGGUUCCUACUCAGAGAGACUAUUCUCCUCCUCAGCAGCUUUUCCAGACAGAAGAAGUAUCCAUGCAUGCAUUUGCAUCUCCUCGAGGCUCUGGAUCGACUCCUUUUCGAGCAUCCGGAUCGACUCAAGUCAGAGUGUCUAUCUCCUCUGUUCAUCGGCUAGCCUCCGGAUCUCCUCGCGCUGUUCAGUUUCCAGCACCGGUUCAGUCUCCAGCCUUGAAUCAACAACGACCACCUCUUCAGGUACCAAGAGCUUCUGUGUCUGGUCAUAGUUCUCAAGCACAAAACGUACAUGAUGAAGAAGAUGAAGAAGGUGACGCUGAAGGUGAAUCAGACAAAGAAGGUUUGAGGGAUCCAACUCUCCCGGAAGAUGUGCUCGCUUCAUUAAAUGAUUUUCUUUCCAUGCCAAGCCGUGAGCUCUAUACCACUGUCAUCUCUCCGACAUUGGAGCCUGGAACGACUUGGUAGGUCAUAAUCUGUCUCCUCUGUUUAGGUUUAGGUCAGUUCGAGUUUGGUUUAGGUAUGUAUUGGUUUGUGUUUAGGUUUUAGGUCUGUAUUGGUUUGUGUUUAGGUUUAGGUUCAGUUUGUGUAUAGGUUUAGGUCUGUUUCUGUUAAGGUUUAGGUCGGUUUUUGUUUGUGUUAAGGUUUUAGGUCGGUAUUGGUUUGUGUUUAGGUUUAGGUAUAGUUUGUGUAUAGGUUUAGGUCUGUAUAGUUAAGGUUUAGGUCUGUUUUUGUUUGUGUUAUGGGUAUGUAUUGGUUUGUGUUUAGGGUUUAAGUUUAGGUAUAGUUUGUGUAUAGGUUUAGGUCUGUAUAGUUUGUGUAAUGUAUGGUUUGUAUAGGUUUAGGUAUGGUAUGUUUGUGUCAAGGUUUAGGUAUGGUCUGUUUGUGUGUAGAUUAUACUUAUGUUUAGGUCUAUUGGUGUAUAGAUUAUACUUAUGUUUAUGUAUGUAUUCUAGUGUAUAGGUCUGUUUGUGUAUAGCUAACUGUAUUAUAUUUUCUUGUAGGUUUGGUAAGGAUAAUGGUAAGCUGGCCCUAAAGAUCAUCAAAUGUUUUAUAAACAAGUUUGAUGGACCAUAAUACAGUUGGAGUUGUGUGCCAACUGGAAGAAGAGAAAGAUACUUUCUUGAAUUCGCGGUAAGCUUCUAUCCCUCUUCUACUACUGUAUUUCAUACUACUGUUUUGUUUUUUUGAUAACUAACAUCUGCUUCACUCUCCUCUUGUUUUGUAGAAACAACACACCAGGCAUCCCUCACUGGCAUGUGUGGUUGAAGCCAAGUUCUAUAAGAUCAUUGCACUGCGUAUGAAAGACAUGGUUUGUAAGGUAGGGACAAAAAGACUGAGGCCGUAUUGGAUUGAGAAAACUCUGUGGAAAGAGAUGUGUCAGUAUUGGGAUACUAAAAGAAGCAAUAGCCAAGAGUUCAACCACAUCAACAACUAGGAUGUCUGACCGUACUGGUCUUGGUCCUCACAAGCAUGUUUCUGGUCCAAAGUCUUUCCUACAAGUAGAGCAAAAGAUGGUAAGUUACUUCUCUUUUUCCCAAUUUGUUUUGUUUAGUUACAUUCUGACAUCUUUGUUACAACAUUGUAGGAAGUUAAAUUGGAAAGACCGCCUACAAUUGGAGAAGUGUUCAUCAGGACUCAUACCAAAAAGGAUGGGACAUUUGUGGAUAGGAAGGCGCAGGAAAUCCAUGAGGUAUAUCUCAAGAACAAGGCAGCUAAGUUGGCUGCCCUUCAUGUGAAUGAUGAACAGUCUGAUGGUACUUCGCGUCGGUCUGAGCUAUCUCAUGAGGAGGAUGAUGAGAUCUUUCUUCAGGUAAUACUCUUGUCUUUUGGUCUGCAGUCUACUUUUAUCAUAUUCAGUUUGUGAUCACCGGUUAAGGACUAAUUUUUUACUUUGUUUUGCAGUCUACUAUCACAAAUGAUAGAGGGGAAUACUUUGGAGUUGGAAGCUUAGGGGUUUACAUCAAUGGGAAGCGUAAGUACGCAGGAAGCAGCUCUUCUUUCACAACCCUGCAAUCACAGCUUGAGGAUGCUAACUACAAGAUGGAGGAAUAAGCAGCUUUACAACCAGAACGUGAAGCAGAGGCAUUGCGGGUUCCAGCAUCACAAGCAGUUGAGAUCAAGCACUUGACGAUGGUGAAGAAGUACUUGAGUGAAAUUGACCCUAAUUUUCUAGCAUUUCUCAAGUCCCAAUCAACUCCUGCUGUGGAUGAUCAUUCAGAGGUCCAAGCUACUACUCCUGCUGCAAAUCCUGAUGGUACUACUCUUGCUACUUAGCUUUCUCUCCUCUCAACUCAAAAACUUGAACUUGAUCUUUGGUUUGUACUUAUGGUAGAAGUAUGUUUUCUUUGUAUUGAACUGAAAUGUUUAUUAUGUUUUGUAUGUAUUGAACAAGUAUUGUGUGUUUGUAUGUUUAUUAAGCACUUCUUCUUUUAAUUCAAAAGUUCUUUUUGUAUGUUUGGUUUUGAUUAGUAAAUGCUAAUUCGUAAUUGGAAUCAAAAUAAGCAGGUCAAAUCGAUAAAUAAACCUCUAAUAAAUCACAAAGAGAUAGCAAUUCAGUUACCAAAACAUUCAUAAAACAGUCGCCUUGUAGUGGCCUUUUUGUUACUUCCUCAGUCACCUAUUAGUUGCCACAACAUUCGUCAAUUAGUGACAUGUUUGUAGCCAAACAGUCGCUCAUUUAGCGACUAAAAAGUGACCGAAUGGCGACUCCAAAGAGUUGGCGCGAUUGGUCGCUAAAUAGCGACUAUUAGGCUACCAUUAAUUUUAGCGACGAAUUGUUCAGCGACAACGUGUAUUAGUCGCUAAUUAGUCGUAAUGAUGGGUUUAGCGACUCUUUAGUUACGGUUUUUGUAGUCGCUAAAUCCAUGUUUUCUUGUAGCGAUGGAGACAAUUGUGAGUGAAAAAAACAAAUUCCCGAGUUACAUGGUACAAUCUAAUGUCACUGGGGAUUUGCAUUGUGGUCUCUCUGGUUUACAGAUUUUGUACUUGAAGCAAUAAUUAAGAUCAGAAGAAGCUUAUUUAGAUCAGAGCGAUGAAGAUGGAGACAAUUGAGAAGCCACAAGACAAAAUUGCAAGGACGAAUGGUCAGUUUGCAUUUUCACAACUCAAGAACUUACUUUGUUGAUAAACUUUGCAUAACAACUGUUCUUGUUUCAGUAUUACUUAAUUCUUUAGAUAUUGUUUUACUGAAUGUAUAACGAUUGCACGAUCAAAGCAAGAACAUAGCAAAAGUUAAAAUGGCUCAUGAGGCUUCUAGUUUAUGUUCUCUAUAUGAAUGAAGACAUGCUAUUUUAUUCUAUAUGAAUAGGUGAACUAUUCCAUUUGGCGUCUCUUCUUUUUUUUUGCCAAACACCAUUUUAUAAAGUUAUCGGACGAAGACUUUCCUCUAGAGAGAGCCAAUCCGGAGCCGAUGUGCUUACAUGGGAGAAUAAAGAACCUCAUGCUCUUGCCUUUUUUGCGAGACAAUCGGCACGUAUAUUGUUACAUCUCGGAAUAAAUCUAAUAAAAAACGAAGGGAAGGACAGCUUCAAAAGCUUAAAAUGUUGUAACUGCAAACGUAGGCCAAUCAGAUGGAUUAUCUAAAAUGGAAAUCAGUUCGGAGCAAUCUGUGGCGAAGCCAAAAUUCGUCAUCGAGUCUGAGAUGAGGCACUCCAUUGCCCAUAGAAGGGUGUCGAAUUCUGCUUGCAGGGGUGAUAAUCCCCGACGGGAACUUUUCAGUUCUAAGAGAAUAAGGGUAUCUCCAUCCAUAACAAUCCACCAAUGUCCACCGAGGGGGUCAGUUACUUUCCAAGUGCCAUCGAUUUGACAUUCUGAUUGAGGAGUGCCCGAGAUUAUAGGGUCAGGAGGUGGCCUUACGCCUUCAACAAGGAGAUCGUCUUUAUUAUUUGCAAUCUUCCAUGCAUUCACCUCUUGAACGGCAUCCUCUAGAGUGUUCUGGGGAGACUCCCGGAUAUUUUCUAAUAUAAAGCUGUUUCGAGCCUUCCAUAGAUACCACAAUAUCCAUGGGAAUAAAUGCCCAAUUUCUUCUCCAAUAAUCAUCCAUUUCGCUCUCCAAAAAAGAAAGUCCAUAUUAGAGAAUAUGGACUGACUUGGGAAGGAGGAAGGCAAUGUUGGGAUUGGUGAAAGGGCCCAGGUUUGAAGCGCUGGUGGGCAUUCAAAGAGGAGGUGAUUAAUUGUCUCCUCUUCAGCACCACAUCUUGGACAAUGCUUCUCCUUACCAAUGUGUCGGUAGAAUAAAGUAUGGUUUGUCGCUAGACAUCCUGAUAAACAUUGCCACACAAAAUGCUUAAGCUUUCGUGUAGUUUUUAACUUCCAUACUUGUGCCAGAAGGGGGGUGAUCCCUGGUCCCUGAAAAGGGUGGUCACAAGUAGGACGGGAAAGAUCCCGCGCAGCCCAAUACCCUGACUUAACAGAAUAGUUACCAGAUUUUGUGCCAUUCCAGCUAUAUCCAUCACUUAAAUACGAGCGACUUGGUCGGAUACCUAGAAUCUGAGGGAUAUCCGAAGAGUCAAUCAAAGCAUGAAGUCGCUCAAGUUUCCACUGUUUGGAAAUAGGAUCAAUCAAAUGAUCCACAUAAAGAUGUGGAUCUCUCUCGGUUGUCUUGCCUUUGGCAGGACGAGCCAGAAUGUCGGGAAUCCAGGGAUCUAACCAAACUCUGGUAUUCAUCCCUGAACCUAUAGUCCUCCUUAAUCCCGAGGUAAGGAGCCGUUUUGACGCCAUAAUACUCCGCCACCCAUAAGAGGGUCUAUUGGAUUUUUUUAUCUCAAGUGGAUCACUGUAACGGUAGUACCUUCCCCGGAGAACACGGCUGAGGAGAUAAUUUGGAAAUUUGAUUAGGCACCACAAUUGUUUGGCUAGUAGAGCAAGGUUAAAUUCUUCCAACGUUCUAAAGCCUAGACCUCCUUCUGAUAGUUGGGUGUAUAGUUUGUCCCAGGCAAUCCAAUGGAUUCCUUUACUAUCUGCUUUUGUCUUCGACCAAAAAUCCGCAAUAGCACUGCUUAGCUUUGAACGGAUAGCUUUAGGUAAGAGGAAGCACGACAUGACAUAUGUCGGAAGAGCUUGCGCUACUGAUUUUAUUAGAUUCUGUUUCCCACCCUUGGAAAGGAAUUUGGCUAACCACGUAUUGAGCCGACUAUGAAGACGAUCUCGGACAAAGGCAAAAACUUGGGUUUUGGAGCCGUGGAUCUUUUCAGGAAGUCCCAAAUAAGUACCCAUUCCCCCUUCGUUAGUUAUCCCAAGGGUUCUUUUUAUGGUACUGCGAGUCUGAUCAUCAACGUCUUUGCCAAACAUCACCGAGGAUUUCCGAAAAUUUAGCUGUUGGCCUGAAGCCGCGCCAUAUAAGCGAAUUAUGUCUAUUAUAGCCUUCCCCUGGUCUUUAUUCACUCUACAGAAAAACAAGCUAUCAUUUGCAAAGAGGUAAUGAGAGGUUGAAGGGCUUGCUUUCGAUACCUGAAGGCCUUGAAUUUGGCCAUUCCAUUCCACCGAUUUUAGUUGGGCAAUUAAAGCCUCCGUGCAUAAGAUGAAAAGAAAAGGAGGGGUCUCCUUGUCCUCUCAAGUUUCACAAUUCUUGAUUUUGCUGCAACUUUUUUUGUACCAUAUAUUGGCCUCUUGAAAUUUAGUUAUCUUUAAUUUGUAUGAGAUUAAGAAGAACAAGUAUUGGAUGAGGUUUAUUGGGUGACAAGGGACCUAUAUAGUGUGGAUGUCGGAAUCCGCAAUACAAAUUUUAAGAUGUGUAUCGGGUCGUCUAGCCUUGCUAAUUCGAAUAGCAAUCGUCAAAAAGAAAACAAAAGAGUGAAGUAUGUGUAUCCGUUUAUUGCUCAAGAAAUUCGGUCCCCCUUACAAUGAUCUACAACCCCUAUUUAUAAUUACAUCGUCGAAAUCCGUUCCCACCAAUCUAGCCGCGAAUCACGCCCUUAUUAUUAUUUACGUUUUGAAUCUUCUCCAAUCUGUGAAUUCCGUAUGACCCGCACUUUAUUUACUUCGCAGAUUCCGACGUUACAUUCGAGCUGGAUUUGAAAUUAAGUGGGCUUUUCAUCUCAUCAUAUGGGCUAGCUUGACGGCCCACUUCGUUUCCUGAAUCCUAAACUUUCCGGGCCGGAUCCGAAUUACGGGAUCCGACACCAACAGUUUGCCCCCCAAGUAUUCCGAAGUGUAUGCUUCGGGAUACUUAUGAUAUUGAAAAUCUUGUAACAAAGGAAAUUCGACAUAAAUACCGUCAAUCUCGGGAUUUUCCUGUGUCUGAGGUGACGCUUCAAGAUCCUAGGGUUUUCACUUUUCCCGCCAACCGAGAGAUUCUUCUCGGGAACGAGGCGACGCUUCGAGAUCCUAGGGUUUUCACUUUUCCCGCCAAAACGUUCUAUAUAUUAGACUGGACCCUUCGGGUUCUGUACCUUGCCUUCAAUACCCACGAUCCACUUCUGUCCUUCGUUUAUUUAAAGGUAUCCCUCUUCUCCUUACUCCUAAAUUCUCCGAUUGAUUUUGUUUUUCGCUUUAAACUCUUGAAUCCGAUUAGAUUUUUAGAAGUAGAUUAUUCUUAGCAUCUGCUUUCCGCUAGGUUUAGGCCAUAGAUCUGAAGAUCUUUUAGAUUUUCAACCGUUAGGUGUGAAGAAACUUCCGUCAAUUGCCGUUCCUCCGCCGUACUCCUUCGAAUUCCGGUGGUUCUCCCCCGUCAUCCGAAGAAUACUUUCCGUCGGGAUCUUCAUCUCCCUGGUUUUCGGCGAAGAUCUUCACCAGUGUUCUUGAGGGUUUCUCGAUUCAUUUCUUGCCAGAUCUUUUUUCAUCUUUAGAACUUUCAAUUUCAUGUUAUGGCUCCGAAGAAGAGUAAGAAGGUCCGAAAUGAAUCUUUCAUCCUCGAAGAUGAGUUCGGGAAAUACUUUUCCUUAGAACUCGAUGACAGGAAACUAGCUCUGAUGAAAGGCGGCUGCGGUAUCCCUCGACAAGUUAAACUGAUAGCUCCGGAGCCCAGAGAGUCUCCUGAAUCUCCUCCUACCGAUCACUGUUGCGCCUUCGAAAUAUUCUUUUCGGAGUGCGGCCUUUCCUUUCCUUUACCGGAGCUUCUGAUAGAACUUAUGCAUGAACUGGGGAUCGCUUUGCCUCAGCUUUGCCCGAACGUAGUUCGGAUAGUACUAUGCCUCCAGACUCUUGCAGAGGAGAAUGGAUACCGGAUUACGCUAUCCGACAUUUUUCAUCUCUACACAAUGAAGAAGGGGCGAACCCCGGGAACCUUCUUCCUUUGCCCGAGGAGUCAUUUCAGGGUCUUCGGAGACUUUCCUGAAAAAGAUGAGAAGUGGAGGAAAUCGUAUUUCUUCUUUCCUGUUGACGAGUUCACCUAUGGUCCAAAUGCAGGAUUUUUUGUUCGGGACUGGACACGUCGUCCUGGUUAGAUGGUUUUUAGGGAUUUAUUGCAUAUUUUCAUUUCUUGACUUCGCUCCUCGGUGAAAUAAUCCUUUUUGUUUUGCAGUUAAACUUCCGAAGACACCGGUCUCCCAUACCUUUGCAGAACAGUUCAUCAGGAUUUGCAAUCAAAGUGACCUCGCGUGGGAACUCUUUACUUGUGAACAAAUUCGGAACUCGUGCUUUCGUGUCCGCAGUCGCUCCGACCUUAUUACCUCUUCUCCACCUCACACUUCUCCCAUCAUCGAUAGAAACAUGUCUCCAGUCUCCUACCGCGAAGAGAAGAGGCUCCAAAAAGAGAGGGAAAAGGUUAGGGAGGCAAGAGAAAAGGAAGAUAAGGCUAGAAUGGCGAAGGCCCUGGAAGAGGGAAAGUCAAGAUCCGCAACUGGGAAAGGAAGGGCUUUCGGCUCUGUUAUGCCGGCAUCUGAAUCGAAGACUUCUGAUCGUCGAGAUCAAGUGAAGGAGUCUGCUGGUAAAGAGAUAGUCCAAGUUUUGGAAUCCCGUUCCUCCCGAUCAUCUCGGGAAAAAGAGUAUUCUGACGGAGGACCAACUGCAACUUCCUCGAGGAAACGCAAGAGCGAGGACUCAGAUGUUCUUCCUCUACAUCGCAAAAGUCGUUCUCACACGAAUGUCGAUGUGAAUCCUUCCGAAGAUGCCGGGACUACUAGCCAAGGAGCUAAUGACACUUCUCAGGGGACUCCGCUGUCCGAACCUCCCGUUCAAGUCAUGGUCUUGCCUUCGCGAGACUCAGAGAAUCGGGAAUCUGGUCAUCAAGAAAUCCCUAUUCCAAUAGGUAAUCCUAUAUUGUUUUUCGAUUCUUUUUGCAAAGUACGAAUCAUUCAUAUUGAUUUCCUAUAAAACUUUCAAUUAGCCCCUCCGAAGUCUCCAGCUGAUUUCAUGAGGAACUUCACUCCGGCUGGGAUGAGGAUCCCGGCCUUCAGCGAGCUAAAAGAAGUCAACAGGGCGAAUUACUUUCGCUUCGCCGACAAACUUGGAGAGGUACCUCCUUUAAUUCUUACUUGAGCUCGUUUCGCUUGAACUAACGAUUUCUUUUCAUUCUAAUAGAUUAUGCUCGAAUACAACACCACCUUUUCUUGUCACGAGAGCCAGCUCUUCCCCGUGAACGAGCUUGACAGCCUUAGGACUCGAGUUGCUGAACUCGAAGAGGAGAUCCGUCAAAUGAAAGAGAUGGAGGAAGGGAAUGCUAAAGCUGUGGCGAAGGCCAACGAUAUCCGGGAACAGAUGUUGAGUGCCGAAGCUCGCUGUAACCAUCUUGAUGUAGUUAACACGGAUCUGUCGGUGAAACUAAAGACCGGAAAGAACAUGUACCUUGAGGCAUGUGACAAGAUAACUUCGUUGGAGGCCGAAAUCAAGCGAAGUUAGGAAUGGUGCAAGGUUUCUGCGGAAAAACGGGACGAGGAGCUCGCAGCAGCAAGGAAGGAUGAGCGAAAGAAACUCCGAGAACACUACAGUGGCUUGAUCUCAAAGCAUGAGAUCUACCUGAAAGCCCUGAGUGAGAAUGAGUCAAUAAGCAACCGAGCUGCGGAGACUAGAGCAAAUCGGGAGCUUCUUGAGGAGCUUAAGAGAGGCGAAAUCCCGGAUAUUGAUGCCGAGCUGGAGUCUGUGAAGAAGGAUGAAGCGGAUGCGGAGGCCAAAGUUAACAAGAUAAACGCUCUCAAGCCUCGUCCUGAUGAGUUUGCUCAUCUCUUUGUUGCCACUCCUCCCAAGUCGGCACCUGAAGGUCCAUAUACCGAGGAGGAACUUGUAAUCAAUGAGUUCGGUUCCAAAAAAAGUCUCAUGUCCGAGCUCAAAACAGUCCAGGGGUCGGAGGAAAAGCGACAGCAGGAUCCCGAAGCCUAAAGAUCCUUGAUUUGAUUUCCGGGGUUGUUAUGGCUUAAAUGGCCCCCCCUUUGUUUUUAAUCAGAACCUUUUGCUUUUGCUUUCCGUAUCUUUUGGAUUUUAAAAACUUAAGCUAUUUCCUUCCCAAAAAUCUUUUUGCUAACGCAAGUCGGACAAGAAGUUCAUAAAGGAAAACGAAAUACAUUUGAAGUAUUUCCGGUUUUCAAGAAACAUGACACGAGACUUGGACAUCGAAGUUCGAAUUGAACUGUGUUGAACCAGCUAUUCUUUUAAGUAAAUAUACUUAGAAAUUGUUUUAGAAGAAAAAUCUCCAUUUGUUUCUAGAGAUAAAGAUUCGUCUAUUCGAGCACUGAGCUCGGAUGAAAAGAAUCUUAAAUAGUACGAAAAUAACCUUUUCGGUUUGCGAAGAGCGAAUUACGAGAUUACUCUCGGUUUUACGAGUUGCGAGAUAGAUCUCGGCUUUGAAUAUUUAGACUGUUUCAACAAUGUAAAUAUUUUAUUGAUUUAGAGACUGCACUCGAGGUCCGAGCUGCCUACGUACCCAAAGGUGGGGAUCAAGUCUGUCGUAGUUCGAUUUACAAUAGUGAAAAUAAUGUGAUUAAAUAAAGUAUCUCUUCAAAUGAAUGGAAUUCCAAGCUCUCCGAAUUGCUUUUCCUUUCAUGUUCUCGAGACGAUAAACUCCGUUGCGAACUACCUGAGUAAUUCGAUAAGGACCUUCCCAGUUAAUACCUAGCUUUCCAGCUCCAUCCUCGGUAGUAUUUUGCUGAACUUUGCGCAGUACCAAGGUUCCAACGUCGAAGUGUCGACUUCGGACAGUCGAAUUAUAGUAUCGAGCUGCAGCAUUCUUGUAAUUUUGCAUUCGAAUCAAAGCUCGAUCACGCCGCUCCUCAAUGGUAUCAAUAACGUCAACCAUCAGUUCGCUAUUUGCUGCCUCGUUCUGUGGGUUAUUCAUCAUUCUCGGACUUGGCACAAAUAUUUCAGCAGGGAUUACAGCCUCCAUUCCAUAAACUAAUGAAAAUGGUAUUUCACCUGUUGCACGCCUAGGAGUAGUGCGAAUUGCCCAGAGAACACUCUGUAGUUCAUUAAACCAAGCUCCUUUGUGCGACUUGAGUUUUUUCUUCAAAGUAGACAAAACAGUUUUGUUCAUUGCUUCAGCUUGACCAUUACCCUGCGGGUAACGAGGCGUUGAUCGACUGAGUCUGAUUUGCCAUUCUUCGCAAAAAGAUUCGAAUUGCCGCGAAAUGAAUUGAGGUCCGUUAUCAGUAACGAUCUCGUAUGGCAAACCGUGCCUACAAAUGAUGUCCUGCCAAAUGAACUUGCGAACUUGAACCUGAGUUAUGUUUACGUAGGCUGCCGCUUCUACCCACUUCGAGAAAUAAUCGGUAAGAACUAGGACAAAUUUCACCCCGCGCGUAGAAACAUGAAGAGGCCCAAUAAUAUCCAUAGACCAUUUCAUAAAUGGAUAAGGAGAAGAGACUGAUGAUAAUGGCUCGGUGGGUUGGUGAAUUGAAGGUGCAUGCUUCUGGCACUGCUCGCACUUCCGCGCAUACUCCUCACAAUCUGCGAUUAAUGUGGGCCAGAAAUAUCCGUACUUUCUUACUUUAUAGGCCAAAGAGCGACCUCCGGAGUGAUUUCCGCAUACUCCGUCAUGAAUCUCUUUUAUCACAGUACGGACCUGCUGUCCAAAAAUACAGAUCAUGUCAGGACCCGAGAUGCUUCUUCUGUAGAGGAUGUCGCUCGAAAUGCAGAAACGAGCACUUUUAGCUUUUAGUCUCCGUGCCUCCCACUUAUCCGUAGGGAGAAUACCAUUAAGGAUGUAUUCUCUUAUGGGUAUCCUCCAGUCUGCCCCCCAAUCCGGAAGCGGUAGCACUGGUUGCAGUGGUUCCGGAUUUGGCGGUGUUCCGAUUAGUGAUUCUACUUCGGAGUUCCGCUCAGUUUCCUCGACCCUUUGUGGUUCCUGUUCCACAUUCAUCCUUCUUUGCAUAGACCGUGUAGUCACGAAAUUCAGCUCUCCGGUGGCUAUGCUGGGAUGUUCAAUUACUUCAACAGGGAUCAUUCGGCUCACUGUUACUUCGGAACUCGACGCCAAUGCCGCUAAAGCAUCCGCCGCUGAGUUCUCACUUCGCGGAAUUCUAGUGAGUUCGAAACUAAGAAACUUUUUACUCAAUUCCUGAACCUGAGCGAGGUAAGCUUCCAUUCUGCCAUCUUUUGCUUCAUAAUCACCGGAAAAUUGAUUAGCAACGAGCUGUGAGUCGCAAAAUGCCCGUAAUUUUGUGACACCUAUCCCAACCGCUAGACGAAGUCCUGCAAGGAGAGACUCGUACUCCGCCUCGUUAUUCGACGCAUUAAAUGCGAGACGAAAUGACUGUUCAAUUACCUCACCAUAUGGGGAUUGUAAUCGGAUACCGAUCCCGGAACCCUGUUUUGAGGACGCGCCGUCCACAUGAAGUAUCCAAGGUCCUUCAUUUUCUUUGACUUCCACAGAGACCAGAGGUAGUUCGAUCAGAAAAUCUGCGAGGACUUGAGAUUUCAAGCUUGUCCUUGUUCGGAACUGAAUAUCAUACUCGCUUAGCUCAAUUGCCCAUUUAACCAAUCUUCAUGACUGACUCGGACUAUGCAAAAUUGCCCUUAAAGGUUGCGUGGUUAGGAUAAUAACCGUAUGAGAUUGAAAAUACGGUCUUAAUUUCCGAGCCGAAGUAAUUACUGCCAGAGCUAGCUUUUCCAUCAUCGGAUAUCUUGACUCUGCGCUGUCAGAAACCGAUACGUACAAGAAAAGCUCUUCUCCGAACUCGGGUUUCGCUAACACAGGAGGUUUGGACAAAUAAUCUUUUAGAUUUUUGAAAGCCUUUUCGCAAUUCUCAUCCCAGAUGAAAUUCUUGUUUGCUUUUCGGAGCAGAUUAUAGAAUGGAAGGCACCUAUCGGUUGACCUCGAGAUGAAUCGGUUCAAAGCUGCUAUCCGCCCCGUGAGUCGCUGAACUUCCCGGAUGUUGCGAGGCGAAGUCAUCGCCAGAAAAGCGUUCAACUGUCGCGGAUUAGCUUCGAUUCCUCGCUCCGUGACAAUGUAACCCAAAAACUCUCCCGAAGGAACUGCAAAAGUGCACUUGGUCGGGUUCAGUUUCAUUCCGAACUUAUUCAAAAUUGCGAAGCACUGCUCUAGAUGCUCAAUAUGCGAAGUGCUUGAUAUUGACUUUACCAACAUAUCGUCAAUAUACACUUCCAUCAUUUUACCGAGGAGAUCUUUGAACAUCAUAUUCACCAACCGUUGAUAAGUGGCUCCGGCAUUUUUCAACCCGAACGGCAUGACUAUAUAACAGUAAGUUCCACGGUCCGUGAUGAAAGCUGUCUUUUCCUGGUCUUCCGGAUUCAUCAAAAUCUGAUUAUACCCGGAAAAAGCAUCCAUAAAGGACAUCAUUUCGUGGCCCGUAGUUGACUCCACAAGUCGGUCGAAGUGGGAAACUAUCUUUGGGACAGGCUUUAUUAAGAUCGAUAAAAUCUACGCAAACCCGCCAUUUCCCAUUUUUCUUCUUGACUACAACAGGGUUUGCCAACCAGUCUGGAUAUUUGACCUCGCGAAUCACACCGGCAUCGAGCAGGCGCUGAACUUCGGCAUUUACAGCCUCGGCUCGGUCUGGACCAAGUUUCCUGCGUUUUUGUUUUACUGGUUUGAAAGUCGGGUCAAUGUUGAGCUCGUGCGAAAUGACCUUUGUAUCGAUCCCAGUCAUCUCCUCGAUUUUCCAGGCGAAAGUUUUUUGAUUCCUUUUUAGGAAAGUUAUCAGUUCGACUCGGAGUGUUUCGCUUAAACCCGCUCCUAUUCUCACAGUUUGAUCCGGAUACUCCUCAUUAACUACCACUGCCUCCACGAGGUCACUGCUUAUUUUUUUGACGGGAUUUGCAGGCACCUCGAACUGUGGUUGCUAUUGAAUUUUAAGCUUAUGACUGGACAUGUAACACAUCCUCGCAGCUCGCCGACUUCCCAGGAUUUACUUUACUCCGGAUUUCGUAGGGAAUUUCAAGCAUUGAUGAUACGUUGAAGGUACUGCUUUCAUCUCAUAAAUCCAGGGUGUUCCCAAGAUAACAUUAUAAGCAGCCGGAUGAUCGAACACCGUGAACUCGAUCAUUUUGACUAUGCCUUCUGCGCAUACCGGGAGCACAAUCGUUCCUAAUGACAUUGAAGUUUCGCUAGUAAAGGAAACCAAAGGAGAUGGUGGCCCCCUUAUAUCUUGCUUCGAUAUCCCCAUUCUAGUCAGAGUAUCGAGGAAAAUUAAAUCCACCGAACUCCCAGUAUCAAUGAGAACCCGAGACACUUCGCAAUGCGCAAUAUCGAGUGUUAUGACCAGAGCAUCGUCGUGUGAUUUGUCAAGUUGACUUGUUUCUCUUUCGGAGAAUGUUACUUCGGGUAAUUGUUCCUCAGUAAGUCUGGCCUUCUUGAUUAUCGGGGUGGUUGCCCUCCGUUCGUGUUGCUUGAUUGCACUAAUGGAGUCUCGAAAUAGCUUGGAUCCCCCCAUAAUCACCUGGAUUUGCUUCUUCGGUCCUUUAAGAACAUCAGGGGACUGGAUCCUUUUGGUUUUUUUGAUAGGAGGAGACGGUUCCUCUGUUGCUAAUGUUUGCUCUGACAGAUGAGUCGGCUCGAGCUCCGAAAUAUCGAUUUCGGUUAUUUCCCCGGAUGCGAACUUGGCAGCCAGUAACCUUCCUAGAGCCUUGCAAUCUUUCGUAGCAUGCCCAUUGACUUUGUGGAUCUCGCAGUAGGCGUUUGGGUCACGAAUCCACUUGUUACUCGGGAAAGCGCCGUUUUUGCUCUUUGGCGAGAAAGACUGCUUCGCAGGUGAAUUCUUCGGAGAACCUUUUGGCUCCUCCCGAUCCACUGAGAAUGUGCCAGCUCCAGGUUUCCGAGCUUCAGGUUGAACAGGUUUCUUCUGAGGUAGAAGUUGAGCAGGUUUCGGAGCUGCUUUGAACUUUUUUGCUAGAGCGGCCCGCUCUUCUUCCGCGUUUAUCCAGUUCGUUGCCCGAUGGAGGGCAUCUUGAAUAGUGGCUGGUCGGUUAACAACCAACUCUUCUCAGAAACGGGAUUCGUGCCAUAGACCGUUCUUGAGUGCAGCAAUUGCUGCAGAAUCAGACAAAUUUGGGAUCUGGACCAUAAUCUCUUUAAAGGAGGUGAUGUAAGUCCGGAGCGGCUCUCCGGCUCCCUGUGAGAGGUUCCACAGCUGGGCAUCAGUUACAUCGCUCUUGAUGAAGUAUCCGUACUGCAUGAUGAAAGCAGUGGAUAGUUGCUUGAAGCUAUCGAUCGAUCCUUCUUCUAGUUGAGUAAACCAGGUCAAAGCCGGCCCGGAUAGGUUCUCGGCGAAGAGUUUGCAUAAGCCCGCGUCUACUUCGUUUGGCUCCAAAUGUACCCGACCUGCGGUUACCUGAAAAGACGCUAAAAAUUCUUUGGAAUCUCUCUUACCAUCGUACCCCGGAAGUUUGGCCUUCCUUUGGUCUCGAAUUCGCAGGGCUACAAUUCGUGGAGUAAAAGGAGUCCUUCUCGUCUCCUCGAUCACUCUAUCGACUUCGGGAGCCGAACUGGUGGCUUGAUGAACCCUCGAACUCAUUUCCCGAAUCUGAUUUUGUAAGCUCUGGAUUUCCGGGUUGACCGGAAGGUGAGGUGGAUGGGACUCGGUUUGAGGAUGAUGCGGGGUGCUGCCAUGUUGAAUGGGGAGAGGUGUUCUGGCUGGAACAAAAGGACCGCCGGCUGAAUUUUGAGGUGCUUGAGCAUGACGGGAUCCAUCUCCAGGUUCACUCUGAGAGCCAAGAGGCAAAGAAGAUGGGAGUACGUUGUUCGGGGAAACGAGCCUAGGAUCCUGAACCUCCGAAACGUUCGGACCAUGAAAGUCCAAAUGGCCGCGAGGUCCGCUGGUCCGCAAAGUUCCUGCAAGAAUUGUAUCAACCCGAUCCGCAUAAGCAUUAUGGGCUGACCUGAUUUCGGAACAACUCGCUGUGAGGACUGCGAUUUGGCUGCCGCUUUGCUCUUCAAACGCUGAAAGCUUCUCAGAUAACGCAGUGGUGGCGAGCUGCUGCUGGUCGGUCUUCUCGGACAGAUCUUUAAGCAACUUCUUGAUCUCGUCGAGGACUGAAGCCGGAUCCGCUAUGUCUGACAUCUUUUCGAUUGAUAUUCUGGAGUAAAAGACUAGAAAACCCCUCCUUCUAGCUCCAAAUUGUGGAUGUCGGAAUCCGCAAUAUAAAUUUUAAGAUGUGUAUCGGGUCGUCUAGCCUUGCUAAUUCGAAUAGCAAUCGUCAAAAAGAAAACAAAAGAGUGAAGUAUGUGUAUCCGUUUAUUGCUCAAGAAAUUCGGUCCCCCUUACAAUGAUCUACAACCCCUAUUUAUAAUUACAUCGUCGAAUUCCGUUCCCACCAAUCUAGCCGCGAAUCACGCCCUUAUUAUUAUUUCCGUUUCGAAUCUUCUCCAAUCUGUGAAUUCCGUAUGACCCGCACUUUAUUUACUUCGCAGAUUCCGACGUUACAUUCGAGCUGGAUUUGAAAUUAAGUGGGCUUUUCAUCUCAUCAUAUGGGCUAGCUUGACGGCCCACUUCGUUUCCUGAAUCCUAAACUUUCCGGGCCGGAUCCGAAUUACGGGAUCCGACACCAACAUAUAGGAACUUGAAUAAUUUAGGUGUUUAUGCAUUUCAACGUGUAUCGAAUUUUGUGGGUAAGUGUAAUGGAUUUGCUCAUUCUAUUAGACGUUGGAUUGUGUUUUAUUAGGAAGCGAAUAUGGGUGGUCACGGACAAAUGAAUUCGAAAUUUGACGAUGGAAUUGCAAAUGUGGAUGCCAUUGAUUUUUCUAAUGCAAGACAUAAGAAUCUAAGGAGGUCUUUUCUCUUUUUUCUUGACAAGAAGUUUCAACAGCCAUUUCCACUUCCAAUUCUUAUCGAUAAUAUUCAAUUUCAACUGAAAACGAAGAACUCAUGGCUAAUCAUAUGCUGACAGUUUAAGAGUAUGUUAUCUUUCAUGUUAGGUGAUGUGUGAAUGUUUUGGCGGACCUGAUGGAAUUUGUUAGGAACAAUGAAGCGGAACUGAUAGAAUCAACCUGGAUGCUGAGGAGAUCUGCGAGACAAUUCAGUAAGCUCUUUUUGCUCUUUGUCACUUUCAGAGUGAUCUCUCCCACAGAAGCUGCCGUGUUCUUCACGUUCUCCUUUACAAGGUCCUCCUCGUCUCCUCUGCCUCUAGCUGGCAAUGCCACGGCGUCUUCAUAUCAUGUGGAUCCACCACGACCCUUUGGGUUUGACAGUAUAAAGAGUAAUGGCACACACUCCCCUCCUGGAAGCUGGACUGUCACAGCAGCACAAUCGAUUCCAUCUUCUUCCUUGAAAUUGACGCUUCCGUCUAAAUCAACCUGCUAAAAAAAAAUUAAAGAGACGAUCAAUCACAAACCCUAACCCUAAGCAGACUGUUUCUUUCGGUAGAAUCAAAGAUGCGAAAUCAAACCUCAAAGGGUCCUUCGAUCUCGACAAGGGUGUAGGUGAGACGGGUCAUGAGCUUGGUGUUCUGGAACUCAGGAGUAGCGUUCUUGCUUACACUGUCUGCCUUGACGGUGAAGGAAGCAGAACUUCUUGCCUGUGUACUUUCCUGGCUUGAACGAGAACGUCCCAGAGCAACCGUCAAUACCUGGGCACGUGUUAGCCGUUCCAGUUCCUUUCACUUCCAUGUAUGUCUUGCUCUGAGCCUCUGAAUCUCAUCGUAGGUAGUCUCUUUCGAGCUCCCUCUGCACUUUCUCCCUUUCAUUAUACGAGAAAGAAACAACUUUAAGUCAACUGAUCCAAUAAGAUUGAAUCAACGAUUACAAGAACUGGAAUAGCGGUUUCGCAUUGUAUAGUGCUAAUCCGUAUCUUUUAUUGGUUUGGUUGUUCUGUUCUGUUUUCAGUUUAAUAUAAAACUCAAAAAAAAAACUCAUGUGACGACUCGAUACAUAUUAAAAAAAACUCUUGUUCUCUGUUUAUGGAUUAAUCUACAGUUCGUAAUGAUUAAUCCAGACGGGUCAUGAGCUUGGUGUUCUAGAACUCAGGAGGAGCGCUCUUGCUUGCACGCAUGUUUUAUAUGGAUAUAGGUUUAUAUGAGGGAUCUCAACUCUUUGAAGAUGAAAAUGACCAGAAAUUUCUAUGUUGUUAUUGCAGGUUACAUGGCAGUGUACACCACAAGGAAAAUACAACAAACGGUCAGUUUGCAUUUACAACCCAAGAAUCAGGAACUUACUUGGCGUGUUUUGAGGCCGAUGCCAAAAAUCAUGGUAACAAAGAUUUUAGCCAAAGAUUGGGACUCCAUUGCUAGAAAAGAGAAGAUCGAGGUCAGCUCUCCAUUUCCAUAAUGCUCGCUAAAGUACUAGAAACAACACUUUUCUCUACUUUCUUUCUCUUGAUGCUCUCUUUGGAACAGUUAGUGUAAGACUGAAUUUGGUUCCUUUAAACAACCUGACAGAGUCAAAAUGAAUGGUUGCUGAUAGCAGAUGUUACUCAAUCAUGUUGGCUACUCUCCUAAGAUCAGCCACAGAGAGCUGGUAGAAAUGGCAAAGCACCGGAAGGAAUUGGAGAAGAUGGCAAAACCCGUUCUUGAUACUCUAAGAAGCUACCAGGACUUGCCUCCGGUAAUCUUCUUACUUUUUUUUCAUUGAAUCGAAAAACCUGAUAACAUCUCUGGUUCUCCAAGUCUUAAUUAAACUGUGAUUGUUCAGCAUUAUCAGUCUCCACUUUAUUAUUGGUUAUUGCUAGUGUCACUUCACAGUGUAUAUAUAUAUCAUUUCCUUUGGUCUCUUUUUUUUAAUUUGACUUAUUUGUUUCUGAUUUAAUUGGUUUUGUCUUUACAGUUUCAUGUUAAUGACCAAGCUGCAAUUGAGAUGGUUAAAGGUCGACGAAGCAAUAUUCAGAAGAAAUUGUAGUUUUUAAUUUUUGUUUUUGUUUUACGCCAAAUUAGUGUGUAAACUUUUUUUAUAUAAGAGUUUUUGUAUAUUAUUUUAUGUAAUAAUGAUAAUAAAUAUUGUAUUUUAUUUUUGAUAUGUUAUUUUAAUCCAAAAAUUCCAGUAAAUGUGAUUUAAAUAUAAUUAAAAUAAUUAACAAAAAUACAAAUAUUAUAAAAAUAAAAAUUACUGAAAUAAUUAAUCAAAUAUAAAUAUUGCAGAAAAAACAAAUUAUAAAAAUAGAUACAAUCUAAUCAUAACAAUUAUUAUACGUUAUUAUAAAUAUUAAUAAUAGCAGCGUCAUAAACGCUAUCGUUGUAUACUAAACUAUUGCACAACGCAAAACCGCUAUCAAAAGUGUCCGAGUUUCUAUAACGGACGAUGUCAGAGCGCUUAAGGAAACGCUAUGGUAGAUGAAUAAUUGCGUUUUUCGGCCGCUAUUAAUACCCACAUUUCCUGUAGUGCCUAUUUAUGGACUCAAACAAGCUCCACGGGCUUGGUAUAUGGCGUUGAAGCAACAUCUUCUCUCCACUGGUUUUACGAACUCCAUGGCUGACACCUCUCUCUUCAUUCACAGCUUGGGUGGCUACAUUACAUAUGUCUUGGUCUAUGUCGACGAUAUCCUCGUCACGGGAAAACAAUCCCAGCAUCCUUGAAAGAGUUCUCUCCUCGUUUGUAAAUCGGUUCUCCAUCAAAGAUCCAUCGGAUCUUCAUUAUUUCCUAGGCAUCGAAAUGUCACGCUCUUCCAAAGGUCUUCACUUAAUGCAAAGGAAAUAUAUCACUGACCUCCUUACUCGCCACAACAUGCUUGAUGUAAAACCGGUACAUACACCUAUGGCAACAACUCCGCAGCUCACACUAACCGGUGGGGAUCCACUUCCUGAUGCAAUUCAAUUCCGUUCAAUAGUAGGCAGCCUCCAAUACCUUGCUUUUACCAGGCCGGAUAUCUCCUUCGCGGUGAACAAGUUAUCACAAUUUGUCCAUAAACCAACGACAGAACAUAACCACGCUGCCAAGCGCGUCUUGCGGUAUCUCGCCGGCACACUCACACAUGGCAUCUACCUUCAUGCGUCCUCACCAAUUACAUUACACGCUUAUUGGAUGCUGAUUGGGCUGGCGACAACAAUGAUUAUCUCUCUACUAACGGAUAUUUAAUCUACCUAGGACGCAAUCCAAUAUCUUGGUCCUCAAGGAAACAAAGAGGUGUUGCCCGCUCAUCCACUGAAGCGGAGUAUCGGGCUGUAGCGAACACGGCCUCCGAGGUACGAUGGUUAUGUUCUUUAUUUUCUGAGCUCCGCAUACCCUUACCGACAUCACCUGUCAUCUAUUGUAAUAACAUUGGGGCAACAUAUCUUCGUGCGAAUCCGGUAUUUCACUCACGUAUGAAGCACAUUGCACUAGACUAUCAUUUUUUCCGCAAUCAGAUUCAAGAAGGAAUGCUGCGAGUUUCACAUGUCACCACGGAUGAUCAGUUAGCCGAUACUCUAACCAAACCUCUACCCAGGACACGAUUUCAACAUGCAUGUAUCAAGAUUGGUGUUACUAAAGUACCUCCAUCUUGAGGGGGUGUAUAAGAGUAUAUGCUAACAAUAAGGAAAGGAUCUAAAUGUAAUUACUUAAGACCUAAUUAGUCUCACGAGUCUGUAUAUAUACUGAUGUAAUUCUUCUCAUAUGAAUAAGAUCAUUCUCUACACUUAUAAUCUUGAAGUAUCCCUUUUACUAACUCCUCCCAUACUUGUCUUGUAUACGGGCAUUGAAAGAAGAGGUGGUCUCUUGUCUCAACCGAUUCCUGACAAAACGCACAAGAUGUAUUCACUUGGUUCUUCCACUUCGCCAUUCGUUCACCUGUAGAUCAUUUGUCAUGCAUUGCAAGCCAUGUAAUAAAAGCGUACUUAGGCGUAGCUUCAGAAAACCACACUCCCUUAGCACAGCUGCAGAUUGGAUGCUCAUCUCUCAAGAGAUUCCAAGUCUCGUUGGAUGAGAAUUUGGAUUUGAAACCAUUCUUCCAUCUCCUCUUGUUAACGUACAUCUAACUCUGUUUUCCGACUCAGCCGCAAGGCUUCUAUUUCUGCUUCAACCUUAUUUAGACUCUCCACUCGAUGUCAUCUUCCUCUAUGCUUACUUAAAACGGCUUCCACGGUGGCUGUUUUUCUUUUCUCCAAAGAUAUCUGUCAUACCAAAAUGAUGUGCCACGGCCACUAUUUAUUUCUACCAUAUGACCAAAUUGCAAAGGAGUUAAGGUUGUAUUGAACCCAGUCUGAUUGAAGUAUCAUAUUCCCACACAUACUUUGAUUUUACCCUCAACUUUCCUAAAAACAUAUUAAAAACUCUUAACUUUUUUGUGGGUUUUUAAACCCUCACCUUUUGAGUUUUGAUGAAUGAAAAAUAAACGCUAAUAUUAAUAAACUCAACUUAAAUUCAAACAAAUAUUUUAUAAAAUAAUUUUUAAAUUUAUGAUUUAUAUUUUUUUUGUCAACCACACAUUAAUUAAAAAAUAACUCUUUGACUGGUUGCCCAAGAGGAUAAGAGUUUACAAAAGUAACAUCAGAAAAUAAAAGUCUAGAAGAACAGGCUAAGCAGUCCGCUUGAACAUUACAUAAACGAGAAAUAAGAGAAAGCGAGAAGAAGGGAAAAGAGACUCGUAGUAAUUUAAAAUCAUCUAGCAGAUUGGAGAAAACGGGCCAAUCUUCAGGUGACUGAAUUUAUGAUUUAUGUUAAAUUCUUGUUUGCGAUUUUUUUUUCUUUCUAAAAUUAAGUUUUUGCGAUAGAAAUUUUAUUCAACAUUUAGUUGAAAUUAGGCAAAUCAGUUUCGUUACCAUUAAAAGUUGUGAUAUAUAAACUAUAAAAUUUUAGGAUAACAAAUUCAAUGUUUUUGGUUUAAUGGUUCGUGUUUCUCAAGUCUUGAUUUAAGAAAUGGUCAAAAUUAUAACAAAAUUCAGAUUCAAUUGGAUUUGGUUUAAGUUUGGAUGAAAAUUUAGUUAAAUAAUGAUUAAUUAUAUGUAAUUCAUAUGUAAAUUUAAUAUAUGUUAAUUUUAUAUAUGAAAAUAUUAACUGAAAUAUUUUGAUGUGAAAAUUUAUGUACUUUUUGUAGUAUUAUAAAAUUUGGUUUGGUUUCACACUUGCAAAAUAUGGCUAGUUUGAAGAUUUUUUAUUGCGGACAAGGUAAGGUAUGAAAGUCAGUUGUUGCAAAUAAAAUGACCAAUUAAAUUUCUGAAAGGAAAUAUCAAGAAAUUUCAGACUAAAAUUUAGAUGGAGAGAGAGAGAGAGAGCUAGCAAAUUUAGGAAUGUGAAACAAAGUCAACUGUUAAUGAGGGCUAUUUCCUCUUUAACAAGACCAAUUGGGAAUAACUCUUACUUAGUCUAAGCUAUAUUUUAAAUUUUAUGAGCAAUUGUGCUCUGUUUUGAGCUGUCAUGCUCUGUUUUCUGAUUUUGAAUCUUUCCUUUGAUUUUUAAUGUAGUUUAAACGGCAAAAAAAAAAAAAAAAAAAAAUUAUUACUUCCUCCAGCGAAAGAGGGCUGUUUCAAAGCCUCCAGCGAAACACUAUGGAAAAUCUCCAAACGUUACUUCCUUUGUCAACUCUUGAUUUUGCGUAUCAAUCGGAUAUUUGGAGUUUUUUAAUCUUUGUAAUAAGGUGAAAUAAUUGGUGGGUUGCAUGCAUUUUCAGAUUUUCUUAUUCAAAUAAAUUUCUCAGAGGAAAUAUCAAGGAACUUCGUUUCAGAUAAAUUAUAAAGAUAUUGUGUGUCACGUUCUAAGCCUAUAUACAUUCAAAUUUUAAUUCUUACCCCUACAUAACUCUGUUAUUAGAUCUGAAAAUUCUUCUAUCGAUCAAUAGUAAUGGCUUUUUCUUCUUCUUCUUCUUCUGCUCUUUCGAUUCCUUUAUCUUCUUCGUCUCAAAACUGGGAGUACGAUGUCUUUCCGAGCUUCCACGGGAAAGAUGUACGCAAAACCUUUCUCAGCCACCAACUGAAGGAGUUCGGAAGAAAAGCAAUCAACUUUUUUGUUGAUAACGAGAUCAAGAGAGGAGAAUUCAUCGGUCCUGAACUCAAACGGGCAAUCAAAGGAUCUAAGAUUGCUGUUGUCUUGCUCUCCAAGAAUUACGCUUCUUCUUCGUGGUGUCUUGACGAAUUGGUGGAGAUCAUGAAGAAAGAGUCGGGUCAAACGGUGAUUACCAUUUUCUAUGAAGUAGAUCCAACUGAUGUGAAGAAGCAGAAGGGAGACUUUGGGAAGGUCUUCAAAAAAACUUGCAAAGGUAAAGGCAAGGAGAAGGUUCAGACAUGGAAGAAAGCUUUGGAGGGUGUGGCCACAAUCGCGGGUUACCAUUCAAGCAACUGGUUCGUUUUCUUGAUUUAAAUUCACUUGCUUUUAAUAUUUCUAACACAUCAAACUAUAUUUGUAGCAUUCAUAGUGAUUAUUUAUUAACAAGAUGUAUGUAUAAAGUGAUCUUCCUCUUUGUUAGGGUUGAUGAAUCAACCAUGAUUGAAAACAUCGCUGCUGAAAUUUCGAACAAGCUCAAUCAUUUGACGCCGUCACGUGAUUUUGACCAUUUAAUUGGGAUGGGAGCUCAUAUGAAAAAGAUGGAACAGUAUUUACGUCUAGAUUUGGAUGAAGUGAGGAUGAUUGGGAUUUGGGGUCCGCCAGGGAUUGGAAAGACCACCAUAGCCAGGUUUAUGUUUAACCAACUCUCCAACAAUUUCCAAAAUAGCGCAUUCAUGGUGAAUAUCAAGGGAAGCUAUCCAAGACCUUGUCUUGAUGAGUACACUGCACAAUUUCAACUACAGAAAGAAAUGUUGUGUGAGAUGUUCAAUCAGAAAGAUAUCAUGAUUUCUCAUUUAGGAGUCGUACAAGGACGGUUGGGAGACAGGAAAGUGAUUCUUGUUCUUGAUGAUGUGGAUCGGUUAGCACAACUAAAUGCCUUGGCCAAAAAUGUUCAUUGGUUUGGUCGUGGAAGUCGGAUUAUCAUCACAACAGAAGAUCUAAGACUUUUGAAGGCACAUGGGAUCGACCAUAUAUACAAGGUGAAUUUUCCAUCAAAUGAUGAGUCUCUUCAAAUGUUCUGCAUGUAUGCUUUUGAUCAAAAGUCCCCUAAAGAUGGUUUCGAUGGACUUGCUCGUGAAAUUACAUACCUUGUCGGUGAACUUCCUUUAGGACUGAAGGUUAUGGGAUCCUACUUUCGAGGAUUAUCCAAGGAGCGGUGGUCAAUGGAAGUAUCAAGGUUAAGGACUAACCUUAAUGGAGAAAUUGAGAGCAUUUUGAAGUUCAGUUAUGAUGCUUUAUGUGAUGAAGAUAAAGAUUUAUUCCUUCA
Molecule: long non-coding RNA, 46219 nt
Filed under: Arabidopsis lyrata
Lineage: Eukaryota; Viridiplantae; Streptophyta; Magnoliopsida; Brassicales; Brassicaceae
Description: long non-coding RNA (ALYR_LNC003444)
Source: RNAcentral